Molecule: long non-coding RNA, 64410 nt
Filed under: Malus domestica (apple)
Lineage: Eukaryota; Viridiplantae; Streptophyta; Magnoliopsida; Rosales; Rosaceae
Description: long non-coding RNA (MDOM_LNC010038)
Source: RNAcentral
CAAGGAUGUUGAGUUUGCCAUCAAAAAGUGAUGAGACCUUGUUUAUAAGCUCCUCUCUUUGGGUUUUUGACACCACAUCACAGACUGAGCCAGUGACUUGAAAACCCUUCUUCUCCCACUGACUCAGGCAGUCAUUAAGGUCAACUUCAUUUCGGGAACAAGUAUGCACAAUUGCACCCAGCCCUGCCAAUUCCUCCACUAUCGCAUACCUAAAUAAAACUUUACUAAUUUAACAUAGAGCAAUACAAAAUAAUUCAAACCCAUAAUUCUAAAACAGAAGAAAACACGGGACAAGUGGAGAAAUAAAGAGAAUAUUGCAUUGGAUGUAUAGGAAAAUUAAAACUAACAGAAGAUUAAUGUUCUUAAGUAUCCAAAUUUAGAGAAGCUAACCCAAUUCCUUUGGUUCCACCGGUGACAAGAGCUGUCAUUCCACGUAGAGACCAUGUCCUCUCUCUGCUAUUCAUCUCUAUCUGCUCUCUAAUCUUCCUGUCUGCUCUCUAAUCUAUCUUUAUGCAAAUACUUUGUGGUUUCGGUUAUAUUUCUUUUCGAUAGGAUAACUAUUGUAUAUUUUGGCGGCCAGGGAAAGGUACGCGUGCCAUCUGUUCAUUCAGCAACUUGCAACAUUUUGGUUGCUUGUUUUGACGUGGCAAACUAAUGCAAAUUGAUUGUCCAAUUUGAAUUUGACUAAAUUAUAUUUCAUCCAAUUUCAACAUCUUACAAUGACUGUCUAUUUCAUACAACUUUCGAUUCAAUCGUUACACAGUGAUUCAAUAAUUCAGGACGAAUUCUAAUCUCAUAUUCUAUAAAGCUCGUUUUGAAUUUGAUUCGUGACACCGAUGAAUUAUACACUAUAAAGAAUUGAAGUUUAAAGAACACUAUUUCAACAAACUUUUGGAACUAGAAAGCAAAGAUACUUUUGGAGCUAGAAACAAAUGGAAGGUAUUACGGUUCGUCCUGAACGAGAUCGAUGUCUUUUCGGUUAAUUUUUCAGCAAAUAGACAUGUCAUUGAGAGUAUUGUUUAAACCCAUAAACAUUUUGAACUAUUUUUACUUAACAUCAUCAUAUUUAAAAGGGCUUUAGUUAUUUCACUAGCACUUUCAAUUGGAAACCGCCCCCUGUAACAAGCUAGACAUAUGAAGUUAUGAGAAUACUUAAAGAGCAAGUCGUCCAAAUCAUCUUUAGGUAAUCUUUGGAGGGGUCAGUUGAUGUUGCUUAAAGAGUUUUUGUAACAUUUCUCGUCUAAGUUCACCUCAGUACUUAAGUUUAAUUAUUUUUUAAUCUUUAAUUGUACGAAAAGAAAAAAAAGGGACAUAUAACAUGAAUGUAGGGUCAUCAUAUCAACUAAAAAAGCUUCAUUGGAGUAUUUCGUCGAGCACCUAGUAGGCACCUACCAAUUCCUGCCAACAUAUACCGAAAGCUUAUGCUAACGUAUGUCGACAACUAUUAUUAUUGUAGAGGCUUGUCAAUGGUGGAUGCAAGAUGCCGUGGAGUAAUGUUGAAGAUUGUUAAGACUUGUCAACUAAGGUAUUUCAUUGAGCACAUGGUGGUCACAAUAGAAUCACACAAGAGGAGAGAAAGAAGACAAAUGUGAUAGAAUAAAGUAGAAGAAGUAGGAGGAGGAGGUUGUAAAUUUCGUUUGCCUUAGUUGUUUAUAGGGGUCAAAUAUAAUACGCAAACAAAUAUACAUGAAGGUUUUUAACUUGUUGGGUCAAGAGCAACCAAUGAUCUUAUGCUGACUUUGUCACUGAUAAUAAGAUCCCUGUCUUAAUUUUUUGCUAAGAACAUAAAAAAUCUUGUAUCGUUGAGUAUUGAUAGGAACAUGUCAUCAGCCUUGUUGUAUCUUUGAGGGGCCAAGGAAAAAGAUGAUGUGCAAUGCUUCUUGAGGAGUUUUGUUGUUUCUCAAUAAAAUCUAGUCAUUUGAAUUUCUUGCUUCUAGUACUACCUAAUGCUUGAAGUUUGAACAUGUUAUAGAAGCAUUUUUUAUUGUUUUGAUCAUACAUACAUGUCGAUCAUUUUCAAUGAACUGGCGAUUUCGGUGGUGCUCUUUGAGAUGUUGGAGUCUUCUCUUCAUCAGGUUUGGCGUGAUCUCAGGCGUUUGUUGGUGGCGUUCUAGCGGCGGCGAAGGGUAGCAAGUUGCUAGGGUUUGUUGCGGUUUUUUUCUUUUGGGUGGUCUCAAACUUUUGUUUUGGGCCAUUUUUGCUUUACUCUGGAGGCCUACAUCUAUGUUGUGUGCUUAUUGUGAUUGAGCUUCUUUCUUUGUAAUUAUGUUGUCUUGAUAAUAAUUUUAUCCUUUAAAUAAACAACAAAAAAAAAUUUUCCAAACUUGGAAGCUCUUCUACUAGAGUGAAACGAAAUGUCAAUAGACCGAAUGGUUGGCAAUCUUUUAUUUACAUAUUAAAUUAUAAAUUAAUGUCACCUAUUUUCACAUACAAUUAAAGCACACCACUUUAGAAUUAGAUACGAGAUUUUAUUUUUCCAGACCUGCAGCACUGUCUCUACGACUGCAUAUGCAAUUAUGUAUCCAUGCAGAACUGUUUCCAAGUCAUGCUCCUUGGAAGAGCAAGCCAUUGACGGUCACCCCGCCGUCGACGAUAAUAGUCUGCCCAGUAAUGUAAGAGGCUGCAGGUAGACAUAGAAAUGCUACCAAGGAAGACACCUCCUCUGGCUCUCCAGGACGUCCUAAAGGGCACCGAGAGUUUAUCAUCUCCAAUUUCUUUUCAUUUCGGAGAAACUGCAUGCAAAGAAGAGAUAAUAGAUGAAAAGAGAAUGGAUGUGUAGGACACAUGUAUUAGCGACGAUCUUAAUAAUUGGUCAAGUUAUUCGUAAACAAAUUAAUUAAGAUUAGAAGUAUGAUCUAAACUUGCUGUAAACAAGUCAGGUCUAAGAACCUAUACAUGAAUAAACAAGACAUAUGGACUUUUGGCAAAACCCAACUUUUUAUUCUAAUUUCAAUUAUGGGCUUUUGGCAGAAUCAUCAACGAAAUACGAAUUGGCUUGAAAUUAUGAGAUGAUUGUAAAUAUAAGAUGUUAAAAGAAUUCACUCAUGUAUCUUAUAUGUAGUUUUGAUUUUCCUGCCGCAACAUCGAUUGUAUUUAAAAAUAAAUAAAAAUAAAAUGCAUGCACAAGAACGUGAUCCGAAUAAUCUUACAGGUUCAGCGAGGGGAGUCGUGAUGAACCAAGGUGCCACACUGUUGGUCCUUAUGUUAUCCUUCGCCCACUCACAUGCUAAGUUUUUUGCUAACUGAUUCAUUGCACCUGAGAUACAGUAAAGAAAAGCCACACUUUGGUCUAACAUUAAAAAUCACACACCAAAAACAGCGUAAUCAAAUUUUAGGUUAGUCUAAAAGUGAUAUAAACAAUAUAUGAUACUUUUAAAUUUUUUAAUCUGAUGUAAGGUGUUAGUCUAAAAGUGAUAUAUUUUUUUCAAAGAAUUGAAUGAAUUUUUAACUAAUUAUAAACAAUAUAUGAUACUUUUCAAUUUUUAAUAAAAGUCGGAAAUCUAUAUAAGGAUUAACUAUAAGCACCUUUAGUGGCAGAAUAUAUAGAUUCACCAUCUAUUGAGACCACACCAGCAGUAGAGGACAAAAAAACAAUGCUAGCAGCUCCUGCAGCUUUGAGAAGAGGAUGUGAAAGCUGGCAAAAGUUGUAAGCAGAUUCAAGAUUGGUACUCAUUAUGAAUGAGUAAUCUUCAGCUGUGUACUCUAGCGUUGCUUUCGUCAAGCUAGUCCCCACAUUGUUUAUCUAUAACAAGACAUUAUUGUAAAGGUUUAGCAUAACAUAACGAUUUUAGCUUAUAUGUAUUAUUGAAAAAUGCAUGAAAAUUAUGUGUAUUAAACGUAAAAAGUACAUAUAUACGUGUACACAUUUUUGAGUUUUAAAAAACUUACAAUCUUACAAAUUAUUGAAUUUUGAAAUGUGUACAACAGAGUUAUUUACGAGAGGAUGUUUAGUUUGUCUUGAAAGUGUGAUGAUGAUUCAUGAUUCAUCCACAUAUCUUAUUUCGUCCUGGUUUGGUACUGAGGUGAUUCUGAAAAAAGUAGAUAUCAAAAAAAGUUCCCAGCUUUUUUAUGUUUGGUAAACAUUCAGCUUCAACUUUUUUUCACAGUUUUGGGUGAAAAAAAACCAAAAACACAAAGCUGCAAAACCUAGCUUUGAAAAACCAGUUUUUUUUUCACAUCUGUUUUACAUAAAAGUUUAUCAAACACUAUAAUAUUGUUUUUUUUUUUAAAAGUACUUUUACAAAAAAGUUUACCAAACACUCUACUGCUUUAUUUUACAGUUGCUUAUUCUCACAGCAUAGCAGAAACAAUUUUUUUCAAAACACAACAAUACCAAACCAGCCCUUCAACUGAUCAAUCUUUACUUACAAGGAUGUUGAGUUUGCCAUCAAAAAGUGAUGAGACCUUGUUUAUAAGCUCCUCUCUUUGGGUUUUUGACACCACAUCACAGACUGAGCCUGUGACUUGAAAACCCUUCUUCUCCCACUGACUCUGGCAGUCAUUAAGGUCAACUUCUUUCGGGAACAAGUAUGCACAAUUGCACCCAGCCCUGCCAAUUCCUCCACUAUCGCAUACCUAAAUAAAACUUUACUAAUUUAACAUAGAGCAAUACAAAAUAAUUCAAACCCAUAAUUCUAAAACAGAAGAAAACAUGGGACAAGUGGAGAAAUAAAGAGAAUAUUGCAUUGGAUGUAUAGGAAAAUUGAAACUAAAAGAAGAUUAAUGUUCUUAAGUAUCCAAAUAUAGAAGCUAACCCAAUUCCUUUGGUUCCACCGGUGACAAGAGCUGUCAUUCCACGAAGAGACCAUCUCCUCUCUCUGCUAUUCAUCUCUAUCUGCUCUCUAAUCUAUCUUUAUGCAAAUACUUUGUGGUUUUUAUUAUAUUUCUUUUCGAUAGGAUAACUAUUGUAUAUUUUGGCGGCCAGGGAAAAGUACGCGUGCCAUCUAUUCAUUCAGCAACUUGCAACAUUUUGUUUGCUUGUUUUGGCGUGGCAAACUAUGCAAAUUGAUUGUCCAAUUUGAAUUUGACUAAAUUAUAUUUCAUCCAAUUUCAACAUCGUUCAAUGACUUUCUAUUUCAUACAACUUUCGAUUCAAUCGUUCAAUAGUUCAGUACGAAUUCUAAACUCGUAUUCUAUAAAGCUCGUUUUGAAAACUUGAUUCGUGACACUAAUGAAUUAUACACUAUAAAGAAUCAAAGUUUAAAGAACACUAUUUCAACAAACUUUUGGAACUAGAAAGCAAAGAUACUUUUGGAGCUAGAAAACAAAAGGAAGGUAUUACGGUUCGUCCUGAACGAGAUCGAUGUCUUUUUGGUUAAUUUUUCAGCAAAUAGACAUAUCAUUGAGAGUAUUGUUUAUAGGCAUACAAUUCUUCUUGCUCCACAUUUUUUAAGGUUAAAUUACAUUUUACCCCAUCAAGUAUGGUAUAAAUUACAACCUUAUACAACAUCUUUAAAACAUUUCAAUUUCAUACAUUUAAUUAUAUUUUAUUUUCAGUUUUAUACAUCCGUUAAAAUAUCUGUUAAGUCAACCGUUACAUGAUAAUGUGGUAAAUGAUGACAUGAUUCUCAACUUUGCACCAUGUGAAUAAGAAAAUAAUAAAAAAGGAUUAUUUAAUAAAAAAUCAAUUUAUAUUAUAAUUAAAAACAAACAAAAAUUGAAAAGGGCAUCUGGGCAAUCACCCUCUUCCUCCUCCAGCACCACCACCAACGCACCUACGAAACCCUAGCCGUAAAGAGAAACGCGCACAGCUUCCAUCUCUCUAUCGGCAUAGCCCCAUGUACGAUCAGCCAUGGGCAAAUUUCACGGAUCGUUCGCACAUGCCCUUAUCCAUUCACGCAAGGACCUGCAACCAGAUAUCGACCCGCUACUGAAACCCAGACCAUAAAUCUGAUUGAAGCCCAAACCACUGCCGCACCUGAUCGAUUCUGAACCACGAAUCUGUUCUGAACCACCGCUACGAUAUUAGACCCGAUGAACCACAAAGAGCUGCCAUUUGAUUGUCGCGAUGACCUCUGCCGCAAUCUGUUUGAACCACCGCACCGCGCCCAGACCCCUGCAUCCACAAGCCCGACCUGCUUGCCUCGAGCAGAUGUAACCAAAAAAGCCGGUACCCUUACCAUAUUUGUACUGCACCUGCAUCCACUAGCACCGUCUAGCGCCUGUAUCAAGCCAAAUCCUCAUUUAUUUUCUAUUUUCGUGGUGAAAGGGGGCUUCAAGCCCAGAUCCUAUUUCGUCAAUUUUAAAUGGAGUUGAAAUGAAAUUUUCAAAAUCUUUACAAUUUUUUAAAUUUGCAAAUCAAAGGAAUUCAUAAAAUGAACACAAUUUCAUCAAUUUGGAGCUUUUGAAGUUGUUAAGGGUUGAAGAGGAGGAGGAAAACGAGUUUGGAGAAAGAAAGGCGGCGAGGUUGCUCGAGAAGAUGUAGGGUGGGGUGGGGGGGGAGGUUGCGGGGGAGGUGGGGGGUGGGGCGGGAAGGGUGGGUUUGGGUUGCGGGGAAGGGGAAGGGGGGCGGUUGCGGGUGGUUUUUUUGGAUGGGAGGGUAGGUGAAGAGAGUCGAGGAGAGGAAGAAGGUAGGUGGGGAAGAUGGGUUUCAGUUUUUUUUUUAUUUUUUAAGUGUAAAUUAUUAUAUUUUAAAUGCAUAAAAAAUUAAUUUGUUUGUCAUGGCAUAAAUUUAGCAAUCAUGUCAGCAUAAAUGUAGAUCUCAUAUUUGUCACGUCAUCAUUUAAUUGUAUAUAUGAAAUUGAUAUAAAAUGAUAAGUAGAUGCAUGAAAUUAAAAUGUUUGUAAGAUAACAAUAUAUAUGAAAUUGAAAUAAAAUGAUAAGUAAAUGUAUGAAAUUAAAAUAUUUUAAAAAUAUUGUAAGAAGUUACAAUCGAUCUCAAACUUAAAGAGAUAAAAUGUAAUUUUUUUUUUUAAUGCAAUCUUGUUAAGGGUCACAGAAUGAGUUAAAUAUUCCCACGACUAUACGUAAGAAUCUCGGUCUGAUGGGAUGAAAAUAUGGCUCCCUUUGAAAGUAUUUUUUUUUUUUUUUUACAUUGCGUAGCAUGUUUGUCUUCCGCAAAACACUUCCAAGUAUCUUUUAAACCAAAAACAUUUUAAACUAUUUUUACUUAACAUUAUCAUGUCUCUGCAAUUGCUUUAGUUAUUUAAACAGCAUUUCGAAUUGGAAACAGGCUCUACAACAAGCUAGACAUAUGAAGUUCUGAGAAUAGUUGAUAAGCAAGUUGUCCAAACCAUAUUUAUGUAAUCUUUGGAGGGUUCAGUUUAAAGCAUUUUUCUGACAUCUAUCAUCUAAGUUCACCUCACCACUUAAAUUAAUUAUUUUUUAAUUUUUAAUUGAACGAAAAGUAAAAAAGGGGCAUAUUACAUGAAACGUAAUAAGAUUCCUAUCUAAUUUUUUUUCCAAGAACCAAAAAAAAAAUUACUUGUAUCGUUGAGCAUUGAUAGAGAUAUGCCGUCCAGUAAUCCAGAAAAUUAAUUUUAUGAUCAGCCAUGUAAGGAAAACGAUGAUGUGCAAUGCUUCUUGAGGAGUUUUGUUGCUUCUCAAUAAAAUCUAUUUAUUUGAAUUUCCUGCUUCUACUACUACCUAUUGCUUGAAGUUUGCAUAGAUUAUAGAAGCAUUUUUUAUUGUUCUAAUCAUACAUGUCGAUCAUUUCCAAUUAACUGGCGAUCUUGGUGGUGUUGUUUGGAGGAUGUCGCAAUCUUCUCUCCAUCCAGUUUGGGGGUUGUGUUUAGCCGAUCUCAGGCGUCUGUUGGGAACGAUGGUUUGAGAUGGUGGGUUGGUGGCGUUUUGGCAGUGGAGUAGCAAGUUGCUAGGAUUUGUUGCGGUUUUUUUGUGCUCAAACCUUUGUUUUGGGCCAUUUUUGCUUUUACUUUGAAGGUUGAGUUGAAUAUCAGAGUGCGCAACGAACAAGACUAACAAGAAUAAUAAGAAUAUUAUUAAACUAACUGAUAAUGCCGGAACGGCUACAAAACCCUAAGAGACUAAUAACUUGUUAUUUCUAUAGAGUUACAAAGUACCAUAUAUAUAGAAAAGUAAUCUAACCCUAAUAGACAAGAAAACGAAACCCUAAUUCUAACGGGCUAAGCCCAAAAUACCAAACAUUAAAAUAAAUCUAAAUAAUAAUAUUUUCCAAGACCCCCGUCAAACUCAUGGCGGUACACGACAUGAGUUUGCUAAAAUAGAUGUGGAUGCAAGACUUCAAAUUCCAGUGCUAAUGCCGAUGUCGAUGGCAAUGCUAAUGUCGAUGUCGAUGCCGAUUUCCAAUGCCAAAUUCCAAUACCAUGCCCAAUGCCAAGUUCCAAUACCAUACCCAAUGCAAGAAUACACGGGCAACAAAACCUCAAAACAACCAAAUUUUUUUUUCCUUCCUUCUCCCCCCCCCCCCUUUUUGUUUUCCUUCCUUCGUCCUUCCUUUUUUUUCUUAUGUGCGAACCAACCAGCAACAUCAGCCUUUCUUUUUUUUUUUUUUCACAGGUGUACGGUUGUGGACGGAUCCAGAUGCAAGGUGGGGCUGGGGAAUGCAGAAAUCCUAGUGCGAUGAAGCAUUUUCAAAUUUGGGUGUGAGACAAAUUCACCAAAUUCUUUUUUUUUUCAAAAACAGAAUUUUUUUUCCUUUCUUGAAGACUACCAAGGACAAACUGAAAACCAAACCAGAAAACGUAAAAAAUCUACGAAUGGAAACUGGAAAGAAAUAAAACUGAUACGAACAAACAGAAGUAGAUUAGAUCCCGAAGAAUCAAACAUGCUCUAAAACCAAGUUGAAUAUCAGAGUGCAACAAGACUAACAAGAAUAAUAGGAAUAUUAUUAAAUUAACUGAGAAUGCAGGAACGGCUACAAAACCUAAGAGACUACAUUGUGAAUAAUUUGUUAUUUCUAUAGUGUUACAAAAUACCAUAUAUAUAGAAAAGUAAUCUAACCCUAAUAGGCAAGGAAACGAAACCCUAAUACUAACGGGUUAAGCUCAAAAUAUCAAAUAUUAAAAUAAAUCUAAAUAAUAAUAUUUUCCAACCGGUUCAUAUUUGCGUUGUGUGCUUAUUGUAAUUGAAUUUCUUUCUUUGUAAUUUUGUUGUCUUGGUAAAAAUUUUACUCUAAAAAAAAUCGAGGCUUGAAAGCUCUUCCAAUAGAGCGCUACUAAAUGUCAAUAGACCAAAUGUUUGGCAAUCUUUUAUUUUCUUAUUUAAUUAGAACAUUAAUGAUGUCACCUAUUUGCACAUACAAUAAAAGCACACCACUUUGGAAUUAUUAAAUACGAGAUUUUUUUUUAGAACUGUUUCCAAGUUAUGCUCCUUGGAAGAGCAAGCCAUUGACGGUCACCCCGCCGUCGACGAUAAUAGUCUGCCCAGUAAUGUAAGAGGCUGCAGGUAGGCAUAGAAAUGCUACCAAGGAAGACACCUCCUCUGGCUCUCCAGGACGUCCUAAAGGGCACCGAGAGUUUAUCAUCUCCAAUUUCUUUUCAUUUCGGAGAAUCUGCAUGCAUAGAAGAGAUAAUGGAUGAAAAGAGAAUGGAUGUGUAGGACACAUAUAUUAGCGACCAUCUUAGUAAUUGGUCAAGCCCUUCGUAAACAAAUUAAUUAAGACUAGAAGUAUCAUCUAAACUUGCUGUAAACUUUUCACCCAGAAACUUGCUGUAAACAUGUCAGGUCUAAGAACCUAUACAUGAAUAAAAACAAAAGACAUAUGGACUUUUGGCAAAACCCAACUUUUUAUUCCAAUUUCGACUAUGGACUUUUAGCAGACUAAUAAAUGAAAUACGGAUUGGCCUGAAGUUAUGAGAUGAUUGUAAUAUGAUGUGUGAUAUUCACAUACUUUUUUUUACUUCUUACACAUCAUUUUAAUUUGCGACCGUCGAAUCGGAUAAAUUAAAAAAAGAUUAAAGAACAUAAAUCCAUAAGAGGUGUGUUGAUAGCACACCCCUUGUAAUAUAAGAAGUUCAAAGAAUUCACUCAUGUAUCUUAAAUGCGGUUUUGAUUUUCCUGCAGCAACAUCUGUUGUAUUUAAAAAAAGGAAAAUAAAAGGCAUGCACAAGAACGUGAUUAGAAUAAUCUUACAGGAUCAGUGAGGGGAGUCUUGAUGAACCAAGGUGCCACACUGUUGGUCCUUAUGUUAUCUCUCGCCCACUCACAUGCUAAGUUUUUUGCUAACUGAUUUAGUGCACCUGAGAUACAAUAAGAAAAGCCACACUUUGGUCUAACAUUUAAAAUCACACACCAAAAAUAUUGUAAUCAAAUUUUAGGUGCUUCUCAUCUCAACCUCUUUUGAAACUAGCCACUCCUCUUUUCUCCUCUUACCAAACCCUGAAUUUUCAAACUCCAUAGUUGCCGGCCUCUUGAUUCGACUGGAGGCCGAUGGCAAUCCCUCUCCCCAUUUUUCUAGCCUCUCUUCUUUAUCUUUUCAUAGAUUGUUGCUUAUUUAUUUACGUCUUAGUAUUUUUAUUAAUAAGUGUCUUUUUGGUGAGAUUUUUUGUGGGUAUUUCUUAAUGAGUGUUUUAAGUUGAUAUGGGUGCAGACCCUUUAAGGGAAGAGAUCCCUAUUUAAAAAAAAAAUGGGGCUCCCUCUUGACCAUUAUAUCUGACUUUAAUGAAAUUCUGUGGUUGAGAUUAAAUCACAGGCCACAGAAUUUCAUUAAAGUUAAAUCUAACGGUUAAGAGGGUGUCCCUAUUUUUUUUUUUGGAAAAUAGGGAUCCCUUCCCUUAAAGGCUUUCUAUAUAGGUGGGUAUCGGCUCAUUUUGUGUCUACUUUUUUGGAGUUGGUUUGCUGCAUGUCUUGCGCACAAAGUUCAUGUUGCGCACAAAAUUAGUUUUUAAUCUUAUAUAAAGUAUUAGUCUAAAAGUGAAUUUUUUAAGGAUUUGAAUGAAGUUUUUUUUUUUUAAAUUUUUUAAUUUACAAAUUAUAAACAAUAUAUGUUUAUUUUUUUUAUUUUUAUAAAGGUCAAAAUUAUAAAAGGAAAUUAACUAUAAGCACCUUUAGUGGCAGAAUAUAUAGAUCCAACAUCAAUUGAGACCACACCAGCAGUAGAGGACAAAAAAAUGAUGUUAGCAGCUCCUGAAGCUUUGAGAAGAGGAUGUGAAAGUUGGCACAAGUGGUAAACAGAUUCAAGAUUGGUACUCAUUACGAAUGAGUAGUCUUCAGCUGUGUACUCUAGCGUUGCUUUCAGUAUGCUAGUCCCCACAUUGUUUAUCUAUAACAAGAUAUUACUGGAAAGGUUUAGCAUAACAUAACGUUUUAGCUUGUAUGUAUUAUUGAAAAAAGCAUGAAAAUUACGUGUAUCAAUUGUAAAAAAUACAUACGUAAGUGUACAUCUUUGAGUUAAAAAAAAGUACAAUUUUACGAAUUAUUAAAACGUUUAUAGCAAACAGAAAUAUUUACGAGGAUGUUUAGUUUGUUAUGAAAACGUGAUGAUGAUUAAUGAUUCAUGCAUAUAUGUUAUUUCAAUUGAUCAGUCUACUACUUACAAGGAUGUUAAGUUUGCCUUCAAAAAGUGAUGAGACCUUAUUUAUAAGCUCCUCUCUUUGGGUUUUAGACACCACAUCACAGACUGAGCCAGUUACUUGGAAACCCUUCUUCUCCCACUGACUCAGGCAGUCAUUAAGGUCAGCUUCAUUUCGGGAACAAGUAUGCACAAUUGCACCCAGCCCUGCCAAUUCCUCCACUAUAGCAUACCUAAAUAAACACUUCACUAAUUUAGCAUAGAAUUGUAAAAAAUAAUUCAAACCCAUAAUUCUGAAACAGAAAAAAACAAGGGACAAUUGGACGGAUAAAGAGAAUAUUGUAUUGCGUGUUUAAGAAAAAUUGAAACUAAAAAAAAGAUUAACGUUCUUAAUUAUCCAACUUUAGAGAAGCUAACCCAAUUCCUUUGGUUCCACCAGUGACAAGAGCUGUCAUUCCACGAAGAGACCAUCUCCUCGCUCUGCUAUUCAUCUCUAUCUGCUCUCUAUUCUCCCUGUCUGCUCUCUGCAAAUACUUAGUGGUUUAUAUUUUAUAUUUCUAAUCGAUAAUGAUUAUAAGUCUUAUUUUGGUGGCCAGGGAAAAGUAAGCGUGCCAGCCGCCUACAAAUAGUUUCUCCUCAGCAACUUGCAACUUUUUCUUGUUUUUUUGGAAACUAGCAACUUGCAACUUUCAACUUUUUGUUUGCUUGUUUUGAUAUGGCAAAGUAUGCAAAUUGAUUGUUCUUCAAUUUGAAUUUGACUAAAUUAUAUUUCAUCCAAUCGUACAAUGUCAUUCAAUUACACACAACCUCCAAUCCAAUCGUUACAACCUCCAAUCCAAUCGUUACAAGUACAAUAAUUGAGGAUAAAUUUCAGAUUCAUAUUUCACACAACACGUUUGGAAUUCGAUUGCAUGCGUUGAUGAAUCACACAAUGGUGGCCAAAGAGAAGUUGAAAUGUCACCAAGUGCUUAUCUUUUAAAAGAUUAAUAAAAUACAACCUCUGAUUUGGUACUAAUGUCAUACAAUCGUUAGUCAAUCUGUCAAAUAAGUCAUUAGGUGAUGAUGUGACAAGUGCAGCUCACAUUUUGUUAACUUUUGAGUCCAAAUUUGUGCCCCAUGGUUAAAGCAAAUUAAAAGAAAAAAUAAUAAUUAUUAAUAAUGUAAAAAUUAGAAAUCAUUUUUUUUUUAAAGGAGUACACUAUUCAUUAAUAACUAGAACAACGUACAAAUAGGGAAAAUGUGCUAACAGAGGGCCUAUAUAAAAACCUUACCGGUAAGUAACCCAAAUAAUGUAAAAAGAGUAUGUCUCGCAUAAAAUAAUAAGGACUAAAUUCCAAACAACCAAAUGUUAACUGUGAACACCAUCCUCCAACAAGAGAUCAAAAAUUAAAUCAGGAGGUCCCUCAAACCACGAAACCGGAUGAUCCAAAGUUAAAUUGAAUCUAGCUAGUCGGUGAGCCACCGAGUUUGCAUUUCAUCGUACAAAGCCUGCUUUCCACGAUUUAAAGGACUGCAUAAUCCUCCUGGUGUCUUCCAAUAAUAACGCAAACGGUACAUGGUUAGCCAUUGCAUUGUUUUGGAUUGCAGCAACUACUAGCAGCGCAUCACCUUCCAAUAUAACCUGGUCAGCACGCCACUAAAGUGCAAAAACAGCAGCUUCCCGUGCUGCAGCAACUUCCGCCUGCAUCGAAUCUGGCCUUGAGCUUCAUUACAAACCUUAAUAGCAUGAAUCUGGCCUUGAGCUUCCCAAUCAUCCAACAAAGCCGAGAGGCCUUCUGCACAUAUUACAAACAAGAACGGAGACAAUGGAUCCCCUUGCCGAAUCCCUCGUUUUGGGUGUACGAAUCCCACAGGAUCCCCAUUAAACUUGAAAGAAUAAGUCACAGUAGUAACACACAUCAUAAUCCAAUUAAUCCAUUCCUCAGCAAACCCCAAAUGUCUCAUCAUUUGCUCAAGGGAAGACCAUUCAAUACGAUCAUAUGCUUUAUUGAUAUCUAGCUUCAAAGCCAUCACACCCUUCCAACCGCUAUUCUUUGUUUUCAUAGCAUGAACAAUUUCCGAAGCCACCAAACAAUUAUUGGAAAUUAACUGACCCGAGAUGAACCCACUUUGGGAAGGCGAAAUAAUGUCAGGUAACACCAACUUCAACCUGUUCAUGAGAACUUUGGAGCAUAUCUAUAUAUAACAUUACAUAAACUGAUUGAGCGAAGUUGAGACAUGAAAGUAGGGUCCAUUUUCUUAGGAAUAAGAGUAACGUGCGUAAAAUUAAUUUUGCUCAUCAUACUUCCUGAAGAAAGGAGAGAACGAACCCCCUCAUAGAUGUCAUGACCAACGAUAGGCCAAUGUUUUUGGUAGAAUCCCAGAGUCAUCCCAUCUGGUCCAGGCGCCUUAAUGGGGUGCAUUUGAAAAAGAGCAUUCUUGUUCUCGUCAUCAGAAAACGGUACCAAGAACCCUUGAUUCAUCUCAGCCAUCACCUUUGGAGAAACCGUGCGAAGAACAGCAGACGCAUCAACCUGACCCGUGGAAUCAAACAACUUCUGAAAAUAAUUAACUAUUACCGCAGCCAUGCCAUCCUUGCUUUCCUGCCACUGCCCAUCGUCAUCAAACAAACCAUACAAACCAUUACUUCGCAACCGCCUAGAAGCCUUUUGAUGAAAAAAUCUUGUGUUUUGCAAUAUCAUUUAAUAUUUUAUCUAAAAAUUAAAGAAAAAAAAGAAAGAAAAUUUGAAACGCAGAUCUUCAUCUUCCUGUCCACCCAAUGCAGGUGACGAUCCCCCUCCCUGCAAUCAUCAAACCAAAAAGCUCCGCCGAAAUCAAACAAUCACAAUCAUCAAACCACCACCACCGUCAGAUUCCCAUGUGACCAUGAUAAUUAAGCAGUGCGAUUAUUUCAUUUAGCUUUACAUUAUUACCUGUUUAAUCUUUUACAAACAUAUUAAUUUCUUAUCCUCUAAUUGGGCAAUUUACUGUUAAAAAGUUAUGUCCUUACUGGCUGUUUUAGCCAAGGUUCUAAAAAACGCUAGGCGCUAGUCGGGCGACGAGCCAGUGCCUAGGCGGCUUAGGUGGAUUUAGGUAAAUUUCUUAUAUAUCUUGUAGAUAAGUGCAUAUUGACACAUAAAAAAUUAUAUUUGUAUGAAAUUCAUGGAUAAGAUAAUAAAAGAAUGAUAAAAUAUAAAAAGAAUAUUUAGUUUUUAAAUAAUUAGUAUUUAAUUUUUAAAUAAUAAAUAUUUAAAAACCCCACCAAGUGGGUUUGGUAGUUCAUAAACAUUUAAAAAUCAAAUGGUCGUUCAUAAAAUCCACGUGUGAGAGGUUUGACACCUCCCUUCCACCUCCACUUUCUCACAUCAGGUAGGAUUCAAAAGGUGGAGCUAGUUAUGCCUUGGAAAGCGAUCUCACAUUAUUUUUUUUGGGUUUUCUUUUCCUCUUCUGCCUUGGAAAGAGGAAAGCCCCAUUAAUGUUUUGAAAUUUUUUACUUCUUCUCUUCUUCUCCUUCUCUGAUUACUCUAUUUUUCCAUUUCCUCUUCUUCUGUUGCUCUGUAAAUUUCCACAGUAGCCUUUCUCGCUUCUUCUCCGAGCUUCUUUCUGCUUCCAAGGCGCUCACUCUGUCUCUCUCUCUUCUAGCUGCCAAGUAACUUCCAGUUCUGCCCCCAUCAACUCUAUUAAUUCCACCAUGAAACUUUGCACAUUCUGCAACUCCAUCCAAAAUCCAUCUCUAAAGUUCCAAUCUUUUCUCUUAAUCUUCUCAGCUCCACCACUCAUUCUACCCCUCAGAACCCAACAAAUUACAUAUGGGUCCCUCCCAAAGUCCUCAAACAAGCUUCCUUUCCACCACAAUGUCACCCUCACAGUCACCGUCGCAGUCGGAACACCGCCGCAGAAUGUUUCGAUGGUCAUCGACCCCAGAAGCGAGCUUUCCUGGCUUCACAGCAACAAAACCCGGGACUAUAACAAGACAUUCGAUCCGACCCAAUCCACCUCCUACUCCCCCGUCCCAUGCUUCUCAUCCACUUGCACGAACCGGACAAACCUUGCCAAUUUAUGAAACGAUUUUGAGUUAAUCGCGGCGAAGCACCGCCGCCUAGCGCCCAGGCACCGCCUAGGCGGCCGCCUCAACCGUUUUUUAGAACACUGAUUUUAGCUCACUCCUCUUUUGUUUUGCAGGUUUACAAAUAGACAAUCAAAAUGGUAGAUGGAAUGAGAUUGAAUUAGUUUUGAGGCUAGAAGUUCAAUUAAUUUUUAUUUUGGACUCGUCGAGAAGUAUGAUUUUCGUUUUUGAAUCACUUGAUUUCGUUGAGUAUUAAAGAAGGUAUGAACGUUUAAAGUUUACCCAGUUUCCAGCGAGUUUUUCAGUUUUCCCUCGGACCAGUCAACUUUGAGACUAUUUUCCGGCCAUCUCUAGAAAUCAUUGGGCUUCCAAAUAGGUAUAAUUUUAUUCUACACUUUCUUAUCUUCAUUUUGAUAUAUUAUAGGUUGAAUUUGGCUAAGAAACGAUUGAGUUACGAAGUUUUCAAAAUUGCCCAAACUUCCGGCUAAAAGCUCUGGGACACUUAAUUGAGUUUUUAACGGAAUGAUCAAAAUGAUGGAUGGUGGACAAUCUCAGGGAUCACUUUUAUUGAUUUGGAAUGUUAUGAACCAAAGUGAUAAGUUAUACAAAUCACAGAGACCAUUUUAGCUAUUUAGCCAGUAGAAAAAUAAUUCAAAUCCAUAAUUCAUCCACGGACGUUUGCAACUUUUUGUUUGCUUGUUAUCAUGUCACAAACGACGCAAAAUGAUUGUCCUUGAAUUUGAAUUUGGGUAACCUUAAAUUUUCGUCCAAUUUCAAUAUUAUACCUCUCUCAAUUUUUAUAUACCAGCCGUCAAAUUUGAUUAAGUGAUAAAAUGAAAAGUUUGGAACUUAUAUUUUACUGAUUUGGAGUCCAAAUUUAUGCCACAAGUUAGAACAAAUUAAAAAAAAAGUUUUAUUAUUAAUAAUGUAUAAAUUAGAAAAUCAUCUGCAAGAUCAUUUAAUAUUUUAUUUAAAAUUUAAAAAAAAACAAACGAAGGAUUUUUAUCACAAAUGGUCCAUGAAAUUGAUCCCUCAAUCAUGAUGGUCUCUAAAAUUGAAAAUCGAUCAAUGUAAUCACUGAAUAUUAGUCCCGCAAAUCAAUGUCUUUCUGUCACUGUUCCGUCCAAACUAGCGUUAAGAGAUUUUUUGGAAUUAGAUAAGAUAUAUAUUUUUUCCCUGAUCUCAAGCAUUGUCUCUUCUACUACAUAUGCAUACAUAUAGAACUAUUUCCAAGUCAUGCUCCUUGGAAGAGCAAGCCAUUGAUGGUCACCUCGCCGUCGACGAUAAUAGUCUGCCCAGUAAUGUAAGAGGAUGCAGGUAGGCAUAGAAAUGCUACCAAGGAGGACAACCUCUGGCUUUCCAGGACGUCCUAAAGGUCACCGAGAGUUUAUCAUCUCCAAUUUCUUUUCAUUUCCGAGAAACUGCGUUUAUAGAAGAGAGAAUUGAUGUGUAGGACACAUAUAUUACAAGCGCUUCAUUAACAUAAUAAAUAAGGCUAGAAGUAUGAUCUAAACUCGCUGUAAACUUUUCAUCAAAAAACUUGUUGUAAACAAGUCAGGUCUAAAAUUGAACCUAUACAUGAAUAAACAAAAGAUAUAUUGAACGCGAUUUAAGAUGUUUAGAAUAACGGUAGCCGGCUAUCUAGGCAGCUUUGGAGGUGGUUAGCAUGUCAAUUAUGUAUCUCUAUGUCUUUUUCAGAUUCUCUGGUUGCUUUUUGGGAUGCCUACGUAAGCCCUUUUCCUAACAACUGCACAAUCUAUGGAUUUUUUCGAAUCUUUAUACUAUUUUGACUAUUUGGAAAUCUCAAAAUAGGUUUAUUUUUUAGGGUCACCCAAUCUAUUUUCAUCGGCUUUGCAUGUCUAUCAAUUUUGGGAUCGUUCAUGGUUGGAAGUUUAUUCCUACUUAUUCUCAAGGCACUAGUCUAUCCUUGGCAAGGCUUCAACUAGUCAUCCUGUGCUUUGGUCUUUCCUUGGAUUAAACUUAAUACAGAUGGUUUGUCCAAAGGAAAUUCCAGUCCUACUCCUUGUGGAGGAGUUUUCAAAGAUUGCCAUUGCACAACCCGUCUCGAUUUAUUUUACGGGUUUUACGGAACGGAAGGUUAGUCUCAUAAUUUCACUUUGGUUUUAAAAAUGUGUUUGAAAAGGGUUUCUUUUGGACCUUAAAUGGUGUGCCCAAGGGGGCCCACCCCUAAUUUUCUGUCCCUGAUUCCCCUUUCCCCCGCCUGCCACGUGGCAAACCCCUACCCACUUCAUUUCUCAUUCUCUUCUCCCCGAGCACUCACUCUCUCAGCUCUAUAUCACUCUCUUUCACACACUCAACCUCUCUCCCUCAUCCCGAUUCACUCACACAUCCACACACCCAAAUCAAGGAAAGCAACGGCGACGGCGACACCAUCACAUCCACCGUGGUAGCACUCUCCCUCAUAUCUGUGAAGAAACCGGACACCUAGAGGGCACCCAAACCAAGACUUCGGCGAGCCCAGUGGGUUUCGAGCAAUGAAUCGGCCACCUUCGGCCAUUCCACGAUGAUUAGGAGGUAACCAAUCUUUCCUUUUUGUCUCUAUUUCAUUUUGGUACCUAGAUCGAGUCUUAGGUGUGAGCAGCGACGUCGACCGAAACUCAAGAGGCUCCGGCUUCCUUCCCCAGCGAGAAUAGGUAGCCAAGGCCCUUGGGUCGAGGAAACUAAGGCCUUUGGCCCGCUAAAGCUUUAGCCCAAGACCAAAGGGUUUCAGCCUGUGAGCUUUAGACCCAAACCCUUUUUAUUUAUAUUUAUUUUGUUUUCUUUUAAAAACCCAAAAACAAUCGGGCUAGGUUUCAAGCCCAACCCAGCCCAUUUAAAAACCCCUUAACCUUUUUAGACCCUUGCCUUAGGGCCGUUUGAGAUUAGGUCUUUGGGCCUUUGCAUCCGAGCCCAAACCCUUUGAAGCAAGCUUUCAGGCCAUGUAGAAGUUGGGCCUUUGGGGCCUGUGUAAAUCGAACCCAACCCAGAGAGAGACAGGCCUUUGGGCCAUCCAACUUGGGCCUCCAGCUCGGUAGUCUUAAUCCCAACUCGAACCCAUGAACCAUUGAUCGACUCGGACCCGUUAACCGUUGACUGGUUCGACCGUUAACUUAGUCAACAUUGAUCGUUGACUUUGACUUUGGUUUGUUGACUUUUUCUGGUUUUGUUCAGAAACCUUCUAGGCUAAUUUCGACGUCCUAGAACCGUUUUUUAUGUCCGUUUUCCCAAAUUCAAUUGUUUGAAUAUAGUUUUAUUAAUUGGACCAUUUAUGUGCUUAGGGGCAAUUAUUUGUGGUGUUUCCAUCUUAACUAGUUUGCGUGGCUCUUCGGCAGCGAGGUAUCUGUGAUUGGACCCUUUCUAAAAUGCAUGUUUUAAUAGUAGAAAUGCAUACAUGAAAAAUAUGAUUUAAUGAUUAAGUUUUAUGAAAUGUUUUAUGAGAUAUUAUCUUACUGAGAAUAUAUUGAAUUAUCAUAUUUUAUCGAACUAAUGUUCUUUGUAGUAUAUAUGAUGGAUGACUAUAUACUGCUUACGAACAUGCUUUUACACACUUUUUUAUAGUAUAUAUGAUGGAUGACUAUAUGCUAUGAAGAUGAUUUUGAGAUAUAUGUAUUUAUAUUUUGGGAAAUACUAUACUCAAUGUUUUUGUGUGUAUCUAGUGGUCACUGUUCUACCUACGGGCAAUGAUACUUAUAUUGGCUUCGGCUGGGCGUAAGUUGGUGCCUGUUUGGCAAAUGUAGUGUUCUGAAGGAAAUGUUCUAAAUGAGGAGUUCUCUAUGCCUUCGGGCGAUAUUGAUACCACUAGUUAGCACAUUAUAUACGUGAUAUUUAAGGUUUUAUGGCAUGCUAGGGUUUCAGAAACCUAUUACAUAUUAUAUUAUUGAAUUUCCAUAAACCUUUAGGGGUUAGUAUGUUGAUAAUUAUUUCAUUCUUAUAUGUAUAUCAACUUGGUCCGCUCUUGUUUGUUUUGCACCCCCUCAGGACUUAGAUUUGAGGUGUAAAAUCCCGGCAUCAAGGCACUUCCGCAUCGGCAUCUUCAAGUCUUCUUGGUGUAGGACCCAUUCCUUCAUUCAUUUAAUUUUAUAUUAUUUCGUUGGUUUUUACAUUAAAGUGACGUGAAUUAGAAAUCUCAUUAAGAGGAAGUCUGGUUAAGACCAGCUGAAGAUCCGAAAUGACGAUGCCACUUUGUAACAUGUGUUUCCCUAGGAAUUGGGAGCAGAGUCGGAUCUUCAUCGGAAUGUUGGGAAAUGAAAAAAUCUUAGUGGUACGAGUUGGUUAAGACCAACUGGAAAUCUAAGCGGUGUUGGACUCUGCGACAUGUGUACCCUAGGAAUGGCGGGCAGAGUCAUAUCCUUAUGGAAAUUACUUGAAAGUUCGUGUUAGAGAAAAUGAGUAAACGCUAGUUGUUACGAAGUUUAGUAAAUGGUAGUUUGGUGGGAUUGAAUCAAUGUUCUUGGACUCGUUUCCACUGAGAAAAUUCUUGUGGAUCUUUAGAACAAUUCUCGGUGAUUGUUCUAUCAAUAACUUUCUUGCUUACUCCAAUAGCGAAGUCAAGUCCCCUAACCUUUGACUGUCAACUUCACAUCAAAUUAUUCGAACGUUGUUUUUUACUAGAGUAUAGAAAUGUCAACUGCACUAUUGUGUACCACCUCGAUUGUGCAAGCGUAGUUGCUGAAUACCUCGGUAGAAAAAACACACAAAGCUCAAAGGGGAUAUAGGUUGAAUGUUUUGGCUUCCUAAUAAUGAGGCAUGGUAGAUCAGCAGAGUAAUGCAAUUGCAUAUUGCGAUGAUUAACCAAAUAAUCAUAAACAGUGACUUCUAUUUUUGCAUCUUCACUUUCCUUGGUUAUUUGUUCCUCAAUGUAAAACUAGAUCAUACUGUCGUACUGAUGUUUUUUACUACCCUUCCCGCCAAGCCCAUUCUGAUCAUGUAAACCUAAUCGAACAAUUAUCUAGUAAGACCGUAUUGGAUUAGAAAACCUGAAAAGCCAAAUCUACUAAAAUCAUAUAAAUUUGUCAGGAGGUUCAAAACAUCAAAUUAUUUCACGAGUUGCUGGACGAAGUUGAUUGACAAGUUAUAUUAAUAGGUGUGUUUUUGUGGAUGCGUACGCCCAGUUUCAUAUCGAUUCAGACAGGAAUGUUAGGAGUGUAACCUUUUCACAAGCUUACCAGAAUUACCGGAAAGACUUCCAUGUAGAUGUGAGCUUUGAGUCGUCUUUUAGUAAGAGAAUGAUGAAGAUUAUAGCGCAGGUGGUCAGCGAAUUGCAUCAUCAAUCAUUAUCUUCACGCAUAAAUGAAUAGUCACCACUCAUUAUUUUGCUGCAAUUCAUGAACAUCAUAUCGUACUUUAGUAGUUCUUUCCCAAUGAUAUGAUGCCUAUGAAUUGUAGCAAGAUAAGGAGAUGUGUGCGCUUCAACGCAUCUUUCCAAUGUUUCACUCCAAGACCUUAUUGUUCUUGAGUACGUGGAUGUCAAAACACUUUUAGUAGAUUUGAUUGGUGCGCUCUGGAAUGGUACCACAUCACGGUCAAGGCGAGAAUCAAAUGAUCUUUUCACACUCUCAUGUUGCUGAGCAAAAUGGUAUUUUGGCACUUUUGGCGACAUGGUACGAGAACUUUUACAGGCAACACCUGUUGACAAAGGGAUUUUUGCGAACUUGUAUCUGGAGGAUCGAAUUUAUGAUGUGAGAAAUUAUGCACCCUUAAGAAAUCACUGCUUGCUUACUGAGACAAUAAUGGGUGGUUGAUAUCGUGGGGAGCUGACUGUGAUAUCGAUAGCUUAUUCGUUGGAUCCGUUAAGCAUGUGGGCAGGUAGACCCAUCUACGGUAGAUAUUACUGAGUAGUCAUCGUUGGGGCUCGACCCAAAGACAAUUUUUCUCGUGGUACAUGACGUUACAUAUACGUGGGUGAAACCCACUUUCAUUUUCGGUUUUGGUUUUUAGUACAAGUAUUUUAACUUACAUAUUAUAGUUGUACGUGUUUUCUGAAGUUAAACAAAAAUUGGUCGAGUUAUUUCCACUUUCACUGUUGAGUUCAAUACGAAUUAUUCGACCUCUAUGUUAUUACUUAUCUAUUUUGACGUUAUCAUAUUUUGCAUACUUAUUUUUGAUGUUUUCGACUUUAUAUCUUUAUAAAGUAUGUUUUCUACUUUUACACUGAUGGGGAAAGAAAGUAUGAGCCUGGAGGCACGAAAGAUGGAAUCAUUGCAACCUGAUCACGAUGGUGUGGCAUUUUCCCUUUUCUACAACUGCUCUGACUUGAUUUCUUCUAUACAUAUAUAUUUUCUUCUCCCUAUUUUCAAGUUUUUUAGUGUAGCAAGUUAUUUUAAAUUUCGUGACAAAAUUUUAUUUAAUGGGGGUAGAUUAUGACAACCCGUCUCAAUUUAUUUUGUGAGUUUUACGGAACGGAAGGUUAGUCUCGUAAUUUCACUUUGGUUUUAAAAAUGUGUUUGAAAGAGGUUUGUUUUGGACCUUAAAUGGUGUGACCAAUGGGGACCACCCUUAAUUUUCUGUCCCCGGUUCCCUUCUUCCCCACUUGCCACUUGGCAGAUCCCUACCCAUUUCCUUUAUCUUCUCCUCGAGCACUCACUCUCUCAGCUCUCUAUCACUCUCUCUCACACACUCACCCUCUAUCCCUCAGACUAUUUCCCUCACCCUAAUUCACUCACACAUCAACACACCCAAAUCAAGGAAAGCAACGACGACGGCGACACCACCACAUCUACCAUGGUAGCAUUAUCCCUCUCCCUCGUCUCUGUGAAGAAACGGGACACCUAGAGGGCACCCAAACCCAGACUCCAGCGAACCCAAUUGUUUUGAGCAAGGAAUUGGCCACCUCCGACUAUUCCACGAUGAUUAAGAGGUAACAAUUUUUUCCCUUUCGUCUCUAUUUCAUUUUGGUACCUAGAUCGAGUCUUAGGUGUAAGCAACAAUGUCGACCGAAGCUUGGGAAGCUCCGGCCUCCUUCCCUAGCAAGAACAGGUAGCCAAGGCCCUUGGGCCGAGGAAUCUAAGGCCUUUGGCUUGCUAAACCCUUAGCCCAUGACCAAAGGGUUUCGGCUCGUGAGCUUUAAACCUAAACCCUUUUUAUUUUUAUUUAUUUUGUUUUCUUUUAAAAAUCCAAAAACAAUCGGGUCAUGCUUCAAGCCCAGCCCAAUUGAAAACCCUUUAAUCCUUUCGAACCUAGGCCUUAGGGUCGUGUGGGAUUUGGACUUUGAGCCUUUGCAUCAGAGCCCAAACCCUUGUAGCCCCAAACCCUUUAAAGCAGGCUUUUGGGUCGUGUGGAAGUUGGGCCUUUAGGGCACGUGUAAAUCAAACCCAACCCAAAGAGAGGCAGGCCCUUGGGCCUCCGACCCGGUAGCCUGAAGCCCAACCCGGUUCGACCCGAAAUCGUUGACAGACCCGGACCCGUUGACUGUUGACUUUGACUUUGACCGGUCAAAGUGGACUUUUUGUUGACUUUUUCGGGUUUUGUUUAGGAACCCUCCUAGGUUAAUUUCGACAUCCUGGAUCCAUUUUUGACAUUUGUUUUCCCAAAUUCAAUCGUUUGAAUAGAGUUUUAUUAAUUGGACCCUUUAUGUGCUUAGGGGUAAUUAUUUGUGGUGUUUUUGUCUUCUUUAGUUUGCGUGGCUUUUCGACGGUGAAGUAUCUGUGAGUGGACCCCUUUUUAAAAUGAAUGUUUUAAUAGUAGAAAUGCACACAUGACAAGCAUGAUUUAAUGAUUCAUUUUAUGAAACGUUUUAUGAGAUAUUAUGCUUACUAAGAAUAUUUUGAAUUAUCAUAUUUUAUCGAACUGAUGUUCUUUGUAGUAUAUAUGAUGGAUGACUGUAUACUGCUUACGAACAUGCUUUUACACACUUCUUUAUAGUAUAUAUGAUGGAUGACUAUAUGCUAUGAAGAUGAUUUUGAGAUAUAUGUACUUAUAUUUGGGGAAAGACUAUAUUCAAUGUUUUUGUGCGUAUCUAGUGGUCACUGUUUUGCCUACGCUCAUCUUUCUCCUUUUACCAUACUUUAAACAUACAAACUCCAUAGUCGCUGCCCUUCCUCCUACUGGAGGCCGGUGGCAAUCCCUCUCCCCAUUUUGCUAGCCUCCCUCUUUUAUCUUCUCAUAGAUUGUGACUUAUCUAUUUUUUGUCUAAGUAUUUUUGUCAAUAAAUAUCUCCUUGUUGAGAUUUUUUCAGUCCUUCUUCAUGAUUAUUUUAAUUUUGUGUUCGUAUGUUAUUGGCUUCUUCUGUGCAACUUUGUUGAAAUUGGUUCAUUGAUUGUGUUGCACACAAAAUUAGCUUUUAAUCUGCUAUAAGGUGUUCGUCUAAAAGUGAUAUUUUUUUUUUUUAAAGAUUUGAAUGAAUUUUUAACUAAUUAUAAACAAUAUAUGAUACUUUUCAAAAUUUUAAUAGAAGUCGAAAUCUAUAUAAGGAAAUUAACUAUAAGCACCGUCUUAUUUGGCAGCUCGGACUGUACUGACUAUUUCUAUUAGAUAUGAUAAAUAGCCACCAGAUAGUACUGAGUAAAUUAGUCGAGUGUUUGGUGUAGUAUCAGACUAAUAACCGUAUUAUUUAUACUGUGUUUGAUUUUAUACCGGAUAGGAGGAAUCAAACUUAAAAAAAAAAAAAUUAAACUUAAAAAACAAAACAGAAACCAUCACUUUUGUUCCCAGAUCUCUCCGCCGCACCCCUCAAACUCCCUCAAUCUCUCUCCCUUCUUCUUCUUCCCCGACUACAGAAGAAUCCCAAAUAAUUGUUCCCCAAAUCUCUUUGUCGCACCCCCCCCAAACUCCCUCCCUCUCUCUCCUUUCUUCUUCCCCGAUUGCAGAAGAAUCCCAAAUAAAUUCAAACAGCCAGUUGCGGAAGAAUCCCAAAUUGAAAUCAUCUCUCCGCCGCACCAUGUUUCUUUGCAAGACCCAGUUGCAGGGGAGAACAACGAGUAGGCAAUGAGGAAGGCCACAAGGAGACGAGGACUAGGAGAGCAAAGAUGGCGAGAGAAAGUGACGGCGACAGAAAACAACGGUGAGAGAAAGCGACGGGGAGGACGGCGAUGGUGAAAGAAGGUGACGGGGAGGACGAUGACGCCGAGAGAAGGAGAGAGAGAGAGAAGGCCAACUAAUAAUCCGAGCAUUUUGGUUGGUUUUAUUAAUCCGACGUAUACUGUGUUAAAUAAACAGACCAGUUAAAUUAAUCUGGCGCUUAUUUAGUACGAGUGAACGCCAAACACCCACGUCUGUAUAACUAGUCCUAUUCGAUCCUUUAUCCGAUCUGCCAAACAGGGCCUUAGUGGCAGAAUAUAUAGAUGCAACAUCUAUUGAGACCACACCAGCAGUAGGGGACAAAAAAAAAACAAUGUUAGCAGCUCGUGCAGCUUUGAGAAGAGGAUGAAAGUUGGCACAAGAGGUAAGCAGAUUCAAGAUUGGUUAUGAAUGAGUAAUCCUCAGCAGUGUACUCUAGAGUUGCUUUCGGUAUGACAAUCCCCACGUUGUUUAUAUAUAACAAGACAUUAUUGAAAAGGUUUAGCAUAACAUAACGAUUUUACCUUAUAUGUAUUAUUGAAAAAUGCAAGAAAAUUAUGUGUAUUAAACAUAAAAAGUACAUACAUACGUGUAGAUCUUUGAGUUUUAAAAAACAUACAAUUUUACGAAUUAAUGAAAUUUGAAACGUGUACAACAAACAAAUUUAUUUACGAGGGGAUGUUAAGUUUGUUAUGGAAGUGUGAUGAUGAUUCGUGAUUCAUGCACAUAUGUUAUUUUAACUAAUUAGUCUUCUACCUACAAGGAUGUUGAGUUUGCCAUCAGAAAGUGAUGAGACCUUGUUUAUAAGCUCCUCUCUUUGGGUUUUUGACUUGAAGACAGAUCCGGCCUCGGGAGUUGCGAUGGACCUUGUUUAUAAGCUCAUCUCUUGGCUGAAUGGAAGUAUUGACCAAGGCAACUGGGAGGUUUUCCAGACCAAGUGGGAGAUUUGUUGAGAAGGUGCGGAUUUCAGUUUGUGUGAAUGGUCUUGGGUACCGAGAUCAGCCAAUAGAGCGGCGGAUUUUGUGGUGUCGCAUGUUGGAGCGGAGAUAUGCGACUUAGUCUGGGUUCAACGACCCCCAUCUUCGUUUAUUCGGAAUCUGAACAAGGAUGGUCUACCCUGCCCUCCAACUUAGCUUUUGUUAGAUGUGAUUAAGGUGACAUUGGGGGGGGGGGGGGGGUGCAUACGUGUCGUAGUUUUUCCCUUAGUCCCGUUUAUUUCUGAUGUUGUUUGCCCAAGGUGGCUUUCUGUACUCCUAUUUGGCUUUGGCCCUAGUGAAUGAUAUUUUCCGAUUAUUCAAAAAAAAAAAAAAAAACACACUAUGCAAAUUGAUUGUCCAAUUUGAAUUUGACUAAAUUAUAUUUCAUCCAUUUUCAACAUCGUACAAUGUCUUUCUAUUUCGUACAACUUCUUAUUCAAUCAUUACACGAUGGUCCAGUAGUUUAGGACGAAUUCUAAACUCGUAUUCGAUAAAACUCGUUCUGAAUUUGAUUCAUAACACUGGUGAAUCAUACACUAUAAUUUUGGAGCUAGAAAACAAAUGGAAAGUAUUAGAGAGUGGGAGAGAACUUUGUGUUUACAGUACCACGUCCAGAAUGAGAUCGAUGUCAUUUUGGUUAAUUUUUUAGCAAAUACUACAUUUUCUUAAUGCAAUCUUGUUAAUGGUAACAUAAUGAGUUUAAUGCUCACAAGAUCUCAAAAAUUGCAUAGCAUGUUAUUCUUCCACAAACAGUUCAAGUACUUUUUAAACCAAACACAUUUUAAACUAUUUUUAAUUAACAUUGUCAUGUUUGCAAGCGCUUUAGUUAUUUAAAAGCAUUUUGAAUUGGAAACGGGCCCUACAACAAGCUAGACAUAUGAAGUUUUGAGAAUACUUGAUGAGCAAGUUGUCCAAACCACAUUUAUGUAAUCUUUGGAGGGUUCAGUUGAUGGUGCUUAAAGCGUUUUUCUGACAUCUCUCAUCUAAGUUCACCUCACAACUUAAAAUAAUUAUUUUUUAAUUUUUAAUUGCAUGAAAAGAAAAAAAAAGGGACAUAUUAUUACAUGAAACAUAAUAAGAUUCCUAUCUUAAUUUUUUUUCUAAGAACAAAAAAAAAACCUUGUAUCGUUGACCAUUGAUAGAGACAUGCCGUCCAGUAAUCCAGAAAAUUAAUUUUAUGGAAAACUAAUGAAAAUAGCUUGAAAACUUUGAGUUUUAAAGAUAAGGACAAAAUAAAGAAAAAAGUGAAUAGUACAAGGAUUGACUUUUUAAUGUAAAAAUAUGAUUUUUCGUUAAAGUGAAUAGUACCACUGGCUUUUCAUUAAAACUCCCUUAAUUUUAUGAUCGGCUUUGUAAGGAAAGCGAGGAUGUGCGAUGCUUCUUGAGGAGUUUUGUUGUUUGUCAAUAAAAUCUAUUUAUUUGAAUUUCCUGCUUCUAGUACUACCUACUGCUUGAAGUUUGAACAUAUUAUAGAAGCAUUUUUUAUUGUUCUAAUCGUACAUGUAGAUCAUUUCCAAUGAACUGGCAAUCUUGGUGUGUUGUUUGAAGGAUGUUGGAGUCUUCUCUUCAUCCCGUUUUGGGGUUGUCUUCGGCCGAUCUCAGGCAUCUAUUGAGGGCGAUGGUUUGAGAUGGUGGGUUGGUGGCGUUUUGGCAGUGGUGGAGUAGCAAGUUGCUAGGAUUUGUUGCGGUUUUUUCUUUUGUGGUGAGCUCAAACCUUUGUUUUGGGCCAUUUUUGCGUUACUCUGAAGGUCUACAUCCACGCUGUGUGCUUAAUGUAAUUGGAUCUCUUUCUUUGUAAUUUUGUUGUCUUGGCAAAAAUUUUACCCUAAAAAAAAUCUAGGCUUGAAAGCUCUUCCAAUAUAGCGAAACUAAACGUCAAUAGACCAAAUGUUUGACAAUCUUUUAUUUUCUGAUUUAAUUAGAACAUUAAUGAUGUCACCAGUUUUCACAUACAAUAAAAGCACACCACUUUGGAAUUACUAGAUACGAGAUUUUUUUUUUUAGAACUGUUUCCAAGUUAUGCUCCUUGGAAGAGCAAGCCAUUGACAGUCACCCCGCCGUCGACGAUAAUAGUUUGCCCAGUAAUGUAAGAGGCUGCAGGUAGGCAUAGAAAUGCUACCACGGAAGACACCUCCUCUGGCUCUCCAGGACGUCCUAAGGGGCACCGAGAGUUUAUCAUCUCCAAUUUCUUUUCAUCUCGGAGAAACUGCGUGCAUAGAAGAGAUAAUGGAUGAAACGAGAAUGAAUGUGUAGGACACAUAUAUUACCGAUGAUCUUAAUAAUUGGUCAAGCUCUUCGUAAACAAAUUAAUUAAGACUAGAAGUAUGAUGUAAACUUGCUGUCAACUUUUCACCAAAAAUCUUGCUGUAAACAAGUCAGGUCUAAAAUUGAACCUAUACUUGAAUAAACAAAAGACAUGGACUUUUGGCAAACCCCAACUUUUUAUUCUAAUUUUGCCUAUGGACUUUUGGCAGUCUCAUCAAUGAAAUACUGAUUGGCUUAAAGUUAUGAGAUGAUUGUAAUACAAGUAGUUAAAAGAAUUCACUCAUAUAUCUUAAAUUCAAUUUCGAUUUUCCUUCCAGAACAUCGAUUGUAUUAGAAAAAAUGAAAAUAAACAGCAUGCACAAGAACGUGACCAGGAUAAUCUUACAGGUUCAACGAGGGGAGUCGUGAUGAACCAAGGUGCCACACUGUUGGUCCUUAUGUUAUCUUUCGCCCACUCACAUGCCAAGUUUUUUGCUAACUGAUUCAUUGCACCUGAUGAGAUACAAUAAGGAAAAGCCACACUUUUGUCAAACAUUAAAAAUCACACACCAAACAAUGUAAUCAAAUUUUAGGGGUUUCUCGUCUCAACCUCUUAUGGUUUAAAAAAAAUAAAAAAAAAUAAAAAAAAAACUAGCUGCUCCUCUUUCUCCUCUUACCAAACCCUAAAUCUUCAAACUUCAUAGUCGCCAGCCUCUUGCUCCGACUGGAGGCAGUGGCAAGCCCUCUGCUCAUUUUUCUAGCCUGUCUCCUUCAUCUUCUUAUCGAUUGUUGCUUAUUUAUUUUUCAUCUUAGCAUUUUUGUCGAUAAGUGUCUCCUUGGUGAGGUUUUUUGUGAGUAUUUCUUCGUGAGUGUAUUAAUUUUGUAUUGGUGUGUUAUCGGCUCCUUUUGUGUCUACUUUGUUAACACGAAAUUCAUGUUGUGCACAAAAUUAGCUUUUAAUCUUAUAUAAGGUAUUAGUCUAAAAGUGAUAAGGAUUUGAAUGAAGUUUUUUUUUACAAAUAAUAAACAAAAUAUGUUUUAUUUUAUUUUAUUUUAUUUUAUAAAGGUCAAAAUUACAUAGGGAAAUUAACUAAGCACCUUUAGUGGCAGAAUAUAUAGAUCCAACACCUGCUGAGACCACACCAGCAAUAGAGGACAAAAAAACGAUGUUAGCAACUCCUGAAGCUUUGAGAAGUGGAUGUGUAAGUUGGCACAAGUUGUAAGCAGAUUCAAGAUUGGUCUCAUUAUGAAUGAGUAAUCUUCAGCUGUGUACUCCAGCGUUGCUUUCGGUACGACAGUCCCCACAUUGUUUAUCUAUAACAAGACAUUAUUGGAAAGGUUUAGCAUAAUAUAACAAUUUUAGCUUAUAUGUAUUAUUAAAAAAUGCACGAAACGUGUACAUCUUUGAGUUUUAACAAACCUACAAUUUUACGAAUUAUUGAAACGUCUACAACAAAAAGAAAUAUUUACGAGGAUCUUAAGUUUGCCAUGAAAGAGUAAUGAUGAUUAAUGAUUCAUGCAUAUGUGUUAUUUCAAUUGAUCAGUCAUUUACUUACAAAAAUGUUAAGUUUGCCAUCAAAGAGUGAUGAGACCUUGUUUAUAAGCUCCUCUCUUUGGGUUUUAGACACCACAUCACAGACUGAGCCAGUGACUUGAAAACCCUUCUUCUCCCACUGACUCAGGCAGUCAUUAAGGUCAACUUCAUUUCGGGAACAAGUAUGCACAAUCGCACCCAGCCCUGCCAAUUCCUCCACUAUCGCAUACCUAAAUAAAUACUAAACUAAUUUAACAAACAGCAGUAAAAAAAUAAUUCAAACCCAUAAUUCUAAAAGAGAAGAAAACAUGGGAUAAGUGGAGAAAUAAAAUGAAUAUUGCAUUGCAUGUAUAGGAAAAUUGAAACUAAAAGAAGAUUAAUGUUCUUGAGUAUCCAAAUUUAGAGAAGCUAACCCAAUUCCUUUGGUUCCACCAGUGACAAGAGCUGUCAUUCCACGAAGAGACCAUCUCCUUUCUCUGCUGCUCAUCUCUAUCUGCUGUCUAAUCUCCCUGUCUGCCUAUAUAUAUACAACCUAGCCUUCAUGCACGCGUGUGAGUGCGUGCGGAAUGCAUUUUUUGAAUCACAAUGUGCUACGCGUGAUUUAGACAUUUUAAAUGUAUUUAUAUGCGUAAAUUAACAAAACGAAAGUCAAAUAGUUGAAGUAAAUGAAUAAUCUUAGAUCAUGCUAGAAGAAACCCCUUAUAAACCAAUUAAAGCAACUGAAUUCACAUAAUAAAAUCGGUCUCUAUAGAAUUUACAUUAAGAAUAGAGAAAAUAAUAUUUAAUAAAAAAUUGAUUGAAUCACAUUAUUGCUAGCCCAUUGUGAGGCUAAACUCACCCUCUCUCUCUCUUAGUGUAGAUAAUAUCGUUUGUUAAAAAAAAACAAUCAUUUGACAACUAAUUUAAUGACAUUAUUAUCUGCGUGCGAAACACUUUUUUUAUAACUUGCAUUACAUGCCUUUUAAGAAUUAUAUGCCUCUUAAGAUGUUUUGAACGUGUUUAAAAAUAGAUAAAAUAAUAUUUAAUAAACAACUGAUUGAAUUACAUUAUUGCUAGCUAAUUGUGAGGUACUAAUUAAAAAAAACAUAAAAAAAUUAAUUCAAAAGGAAAGUUAAAUAUUUGAAGUAAAUGAAUAAUUUUAGAUUAUGCUAGAAGAAACCCCUCAUGAACCAAUUAAAGCAGCUGAAUUCACAUAAUAAAAUCGGUUUCUAUAAAAUUUACAUUAAGAAUAGAGAAAAUAAUAUUUAAUAAACAAUUGAUUGAAUCACAUUAUUGCUAGCUAAUUGUGAGGCUAAGCACACCCCCUCCCCUUUAGUGUAGAUAACGUCAUUUGUUAAAAAAAAAACAACCAUUUGACAACUAUGUUAAUCACAUUAUUAUUCGCGUGUGAGAGACCUUUGUUAUGCCAACCCCCUCUCUCUUAGUGUAUAUAAUAUCGUUUGUUUAAAAAAAAUUAUUUGGCAACUAAUUUAAUGUAAUUUAAUCUUAUUAUUAUCAGCAUGUGAAAGAUUUUUUUUAUAACCGGCAUUACAUGCCUCUUAAGAUGUUUUGAACGGCUUGGUGACACCAAAAUCACCAUUCACAACAUCUGAUUGAAUCACAUUAUUGCUAGCCUAUUGUAAGAUAUUAAUUUUUAAAAUAAAAAAAAACUUUACUAAUUUAUCAUCAGCACUACGCGUAUCUUAAAAUGUUUUAAAUACAAUAUUCAUGAUUUUUCUUAUUUUUUUAUUAUAUUUUUUUCCCCUUCACAUGGGCACCAUCAACUUUUACUUAUUCUUUCAUUUUUUUUUUUAUUCUUUUCUCUCUUCCCACUUAUAUUUAUAUUAUAUUUUAUGAUGACCAAAUUACCAAAUUACCCCUUCAUUAUUUGAUAUAUUAUGUUGGGUUGCUUUUAGAUUUUUUGGAUGAGGGGCAAUUUUGUCCUAAUAUUUUUGUUGAAUGGGGUGACCCCAAAAUUUUGUCCCGAUGCGUGACAUGCACUAUUCAUACAUUGUUCAUCUCAAUUUUAUAUAUAACUAGCCUCCAUGCACGUGCUCACGCGCGUGCAUAAGGCUUUUUUGAAUUACCAAAUUACCCUUACAUGAUUUGAUAUAUUAUUUUGGAUUGAUUUUGAAUGUUUUUGGCUGAUGGGCAUUUUGGUCCUAUUCAUUUUUUGUUGAAGCCGCAUGACCCCAAAAUUUUAUCAGUAUGCGUGACGUGACUCCAUAUUGGAGCCCUCGCUUUCUAUAUAAAAGAUAGAUAGGUCGACAAUUAUUAGUUGAUAUUAUGGUGGCCAGGGAAAAGUAAGAUUUCCUGCUGUCCACUAAUAAUUUAUCCUCAGCAACUUGCAACUUUUUGUUUGCUUGUUUGAUGUGGCAAACUAAGCAAUUCGUACACAGUCUUUUAAUUUCAUACAACUUCCGAUUCAAUUGUCACGGGGUAGUCCAGCACAUGAAGAUGAAUUCUAGGUCCACACAACAUGUUUUAAAUUCAAUUCAUCAACGUUGAUGAAUAAUACAAUAGUGACAGGAUGAUGUUGAAAUUCCACUCGCUGCUCUCCUUUUAAAAGAUUAAAUAAAAUACUUCUAAUUUCAUACUAAUACCAUACAACCGUUAAUCAAUUUGUCUAAUAAGUCGUUAAGUGAUAAUGUGAUAAGUGCAGAGCUUACAUUCUAUUAACUUUGAGUCCAAAUUUGUGCCCCAUGGUUAAAACAAAUUAAAAGAAAAAAAAAUUAAUUAUUAUUAAUGUAAAAAUUAGAAAUCAUUUGCAAUAUCAUUAAAUAUUUUAUUUUAUUUUUAAUUUGAAGCUCAGAUCUUCAUCUUCCUCUCCACCCAAUGCAGGUGACGAUCCCCCUACCUGCAACAUCGUCUCGACAAUGUACUCCGGGACCAUCCCCCUGAGCUCCUCCUCAACGAUCGUGGACCACGGCCUCACCUCUCCCUUUCUCGCAUACGACACAGACGACCACCACCACACUCUGCCCAGCUCCACCAAAAUCAAACAACCACAAUCAUCAAACCACCACCACCGUCAGAUUCCCAUGUGACCACCUGAAUUUUCAAAAAAUACUUGAAUGAUAAUUAUUUGUUAAGGAGCGCUUUUAAUUUCAUUUACUUUGUAUUAUUACCCGUUUAAUCUUUUAAAAAUAUAUUAAUCUCUUAUACUCUAAUUGGUCAAUUUACUGUUAAAAGAUUAUGUAUUUACUGAGCUGUUCUUAGAGAUGGGCAACAGUUAUGGCGAGCAGGUAACCGCGGUUAUUUACCUAUAACCGUUUAUGUUCAUACCCGCAUAAUAGUUUACCCGUUGGAUAAUUGUAUAAACGGUUAUUCCCAUAACUAUAACCGUUUAUAAACGGUUAUCCAUACUCAUAACCGUGUACCUAUUUAACCAUAAACAUUUACUCAUUUAACCAUAACCAUAAUCAUUUACCCGUUUUUUUGGACCCGUUUAUCCUUUUUUUACCCAUUUACCUUUUUUUCACCCGUUUGCAUGUUUUUUUUUUUAACAACUUGAAAAUUACAAAAAAAAAAUUUGUCAUAAUUUUCGUUUUCUGACAAUUAAGCACCAUUAUAGGUACAUUUUAUCAUGCAUUUCUAUAUUUUAAUUAUUUAAGUCCUCAUACAAUUUCAAUAUUGAAAUAAUAGUUUACGAGAUCAUAUUCACAAAGUGAUAUAUCAUCAUAUCAACUAUCAAGAUUGCAAGUCGCAGAUGUUCUAUUGAUAGCACAUACAGACAUGGUGACCAGAUCAACUGGAUGAUUGUGUGUAUUUUAAUUGAUUAAUUAUAUUGUGUAAUUUGUAUUAAUAUAUAUAUAUAUAUAUAGAUAUAUGUGUGUGUGUGUUGUUAUUGCAUUUGCACUUUGCAGGAAAGAGUUCAUGGCUAGAGCCUACACCAUGAACCAGUACUUAGAAUUUUAGCAUACCCAAAAUCCCUUGGAUAAUUAAAAUCCUUGCAGUGGAGCUGGGAAGGAGAGGGUCCGGACUAGAGGAGGGAGGGGGGAGAGAGAGAGAGAGCCUACUUCUAAAACCCCUCAAAAUCCCUGGGAUAAUUUUUUUUUUAAUUUUUACAUAUAUUAAAUUAAAUUGGUAAAUAGAUACCCAUAUAAGCGUGGGUAAUACCCAUAACCGAUAAAUACCCGUUAUAACCACCUAUUUAAAUUUCUCUAAAACCCCUCAAAAUCCUUGCGAUAAUUUUUUUUUUAAUUUUUACAUAUAUUAAAUUAAAUGGGUAAAUAAAUACUCGUAUAACCGUGGGUAAUACCCAUAACCAAUAGAUACCCGUUAUAACUGCGGGUAAUACCCAUAACCGCCAAUUUAAAUUUCACGGAUAAACAGUUAUACCCAUAACCGUUUGUUCGUCUAAAUGGUUACCCAUAACCAUAACAGUGAACUUUAAAUGGGCGGGUAACCGCGAUUAUUCAAACCCAUAAGUAUUUUGCCCAUCCCUAGCUGUUCUAGCUCACUCCUCUUUUGCUUUGCAGGUUUACAAAUAGACAAUUAAGAGGGUAGAUGGAAUGAGAUUGAAUUAGAUGUGAGGCUAGAAGUUCAAUUAAGGGGAGGAAUUAAGUUUUCAUCUCUCAUUUUUCAACAACAUUGAUUGAAAUCUUAUUCCUUUUCAAUUUUUAAUCAAGGCCUCUUAGUUUUAAUAAACAUCAUUAAUUAUUUCAAUAAUAAAAUAUUUUACAUAUCAAGAUAAUUAAAUUUUAUUUAUAAAUUAUUUAUUUAGGGUUAGAAACGUUACAUUUGAUAUAUUUAUAAUUAUGGCUAGAUUUUGUAUCAUAUAUUUUUAUUUUUAGUUUGUACCCAUUUUAAUUUGCAACCUUUUUUUUUUAAAUUGUGUCAAUUUUCUAUUCAGUUUUAGUUUGUACCCAUAUAUUAAUUUCUUGGGAGAUUUAAUGAAAAUGGUAUGGACUAAGACUAUUUUAAUCAAAAACCAGUCUAUAGUUUUAUUUAACCAAAAGCACCUUAAAUGUAAUCGCGCAGCCCAUUCGAUAGCAGCGUAUGUUGUUAAGCAUGGCGGGAGAUUUGGCUGAGAUGAGUUAGGACCUGAAUUUUUGUUUAAUAUUCUAGCAGAAGAUGAGCAUGUAACGAUUCGUAUUUAAUUCAAUAAAGUUUUAUCUUUCGACAAAAAAAAAAAUAUCAUAAGGACAGGCCCCCAAUUUCUAUACGGGCUGAAUUACAAAGCCCAAAAUGUUCAAAAAUAAGGUUCCAAAAUUACCCCUAACAGAAAGAAAAUGCAGCCCGUUAAAAACUUCAAUAUAAUUACAACCCUGCCCCUCACGUUAACUAAGAUCAUAUAACUUUUGGUGGCUCUUCUACUCUCUGCUCUUAGAGAAAUUAUACACCCUCCGAAAGUCUAGAAAUUGGUUGUGAGGACCUUCAAGGACCACCCGACGGUCUGGCAUGUGGUGGAGGAGAAGUGACACACCCCGACUGAGAUCGAGGCAUGCUGGCCGUCACGGGAGGGUGACGUAGCCAUGUGCACAGUGCGGAAGCAAUAAAGAUAAGAAUUAUACGAAUAAAUAAAAACCGAAAGCUACUAAAGUGCACUAAUAAACAGGAAGUGCUAAGAGUGAGAUACAAGUGUAAAUACUCCUAAUCAAAGCUUAGAAAGUCUAGGUGCAGCCUAGUAGGACAAGUACUAAUAAUACAGUACUAGAAGAUGUCCUACAAUUAUUUUAUUAUGUUAGAAUCGCCGAAAUCCUCGUACGCCACCAACAGCAAGCUAACCUAAAACUUGGAGGGGCGCAAAACAGAAAACGUGAGUGGGUAAAAACAAAUGUUUUCAAAUUCAUUUCAUUUCUUAAAAGUUCUAACCCCUCGCCGUAAAACAUGUAUAAUUUUCCCAGAAAUAGAAUAUAAGCAUAUGCAUAAAUGUAUAUAUAAAUAUCUCAAUUCAAAUCAUAGUUCACAUAAUCAUAUUCAUAAGUAUGCCAUGCCAAGAUAUAAGCAGAAUAAGUAACUCAGGUGAGAAUAAUUUCAUAGAAACUAACAUAUUAGCCGGAACCCCUGCUGAAUUCAUAGCUCAUUAGUCAAUCUAGUCGGAGUCAUUACAAUGACCUAUACGGCACUACACUGCACACAAGUCGGAACCAUUAAAAGGGUCUAUACGACAAGACUGGGUGUAAAAUAGUUAUGCUCAAUACUACGCUCUCAUAAUAGCUGGGCGAUAAAUCGCUAGUCAUCUACGAGUCGGAACCAUCUAUGAUGGUUUGUACGAUAAGACUGUGCACCUAAAUUGGAUCCAAUGUGAGCAUAUGGUGCGGGAGGUGACAUUAUAUAUAUAUAGGCAUGUGCCAUAUCUCUGGCUAAAUCACAAUCACCCUAGGUGCAGGUUUAUGAGCUCUAUGCUUCUCAAUUAAUCACAACCGUUAUUCAUAUUCACAAUACAUAACUCACCUGUGCUUACCUAAGCGUCCACAUCACCACAAUUAUAUAUUAUGCAACAUAUACUAACUCACAUGCUGGACAUAAAGUUAUAUGCAUGGCAAUUCAAGGCAUACUUCAUUUAAAUGCAUUAUUCUGGGAAAAUAUCAAGUAUAUAAAUAUAUACUGAAAACCAAAAGCCCACUCACUGGUAUGUCGAAGGGUUGUAGCCUCCGAGUCGCCCUUGACUGCGCUCAUCCUCGGGAUAAGUCUCCCUUAUAUGUGAAAUAACUAUAAAAAAGUUAAUUUAAAGCACAUAACCAAAACUAACUAAUAAGUUCUCAUACAUUGCUCAAAUGGGGUGUUUGAAUAUACCAACGUGAUCUACACAACCUCACAAACAUACCCAUAUUUUUAAAAUAAUUUUCCAACCAUCCACGCGUCGGCAAGUGCACGGCAAUACGCGCGGCCACGCACAGGGAACCCUAAUUGCAAUUAGGAAUAUUCCGUCAAAAUAAAGGAAUAUUCCGUCAACUUUACCUGACGCCGUUACUCUCCGUUAAGAAUAUUCCGUCAACUUUGAUGGAAUAUUCUUCUGUCUUCUCCGGUGGACCUCGCCGGCCGUCGACGGAAAACUGGAAAAUGUUUAAACCUUGAUAUCUCAGUCAUUUUUCAUCCAAAUUUCAUGAAACUAGUACCAAAUUGAAGCUCUUAACUUGUAGAACAUUUCCUUACCUAUUUAAAUCCCCAAAGAUCACGGGAUCUCGCCUGAGAAAUUCGAAAGAAACCGGCCAAACUUGAAACUCACAAUCCCGACGUCCAAAACUACCUAGCGAGCUACCCCGAGCUUCGUGAAGACCUUCUAAAGCUCCAUGUGAGCUUAAAAUCCAUUGAAACCUUCACAUUUAUGUGUGCAUGAACAAUGCAUCAAAUCGGAGGUUCUUGGUUCUCACGAUCCCGACGUCCUCUCAACCAACUAAGGGUAUCAAUGUGUUUCUGGGCUUACAAGGAACACAAAACCAACCUUCAAGUCUUUGAUCUAUAACUGGUUGAAGGGUUUGAGGGGUGUCCGUACAAGGUGUACAGAAAAUGGAUGAAUUCUGAGAGAAGAAGAGAGAGAGAGAGGUCAACGGCAAUGGUGUGUGGUCUAGAUUUUGGGUCACCAACCAAAAACAAGGAAAAUCUGAGUUCUAAUUGGGUCCAAACAAUUAGGACUUAAAAUGAUUGGCCCGUUUCACACACUCACGACCCAACGUUUAAAGGAAAAAUCGACAUUUCACGCCAUCGAUAAAAGUAAUUCGGGACAGGCUGUGACAAUCUACCCACCUUAUAAAAUUUCAUCCUUGAAAUUAUAUACAACAAUUACAUCCACUAAUAGUCAUAAAACAAGCAUGGAUACAUCUCUUUCAUCCGAUCCUCUGUCUCCUAAGUAGCUUCUUCCACUGAAUGAUUUCUCCAUAAUACUUUCACUAAAUGCACGGUCUUAUUCCUUAGUUCCUUAUCCUUCCAAUCCAAAAGAGUCAUUGGUUCCUCAUCGUAAGACAAAUCCGGAUUAAUUUUCAAUGGUUGAGGAGGAAUCACAUGUGAAGGGUCUGUAACAUAAUGACGAAGCAUCAAAACGUGAAACACAUCAUGUACCUUGGACAACUCUGGAGGCAACUCAAGCCUGUAAGCAACCUCACCGACUCACUCGGUGAUCAUAUACGGUCCAAUGUACCUAGGACUUAGCUUGCCUUUCUUUCCAAAUCGCACAACACCUUUCCAAAGUGAUAGUUUCAUAAAUACCCAAUCACUUACAUUAUACCUCCGGUCAGUGGCAUGCCUAUCUGCUAAGCUCUUUUGUCGAUCCUGGGCCGCUUUCAGGUUAGACUUAAUUACCUGAACAUUUUGAGUAGUCUCGUCCACAAUCUCAGGGCCCACUAAAACUCUUUCGCCAACCUCUGACCAACAUAAAGGUGUACGACAAGAUUUCCCGUAAAAUGCCUUAAAUGGUGCCAUACCAAUGCUCGAAUGGUAACUGUUGUUGUAGGCGAAUUCUAUCAAAUCCAAACAAUCAUGCCAACCAUCGCCAAACUGAAACACUGAAGAUCUCAGCAUAUCUUCUAAUGUCUGAAUGGUCCUCUCAAAUUGCCUAUCUGUCUGAGGAUGAUAUGUCGUACUAUAAAGUAAUCUCGUACCAAAUGCUUCCUGGAAUGCUAUCCAAAACUUAGAAGUGAAUCUAGAAUCCCGAUCUGAGAUAAUAUUAACCAAAAGGCCAUGGUACUUCACAAUUUGUGAUAUGAAUAAUUAGCUAAUCGGCUUAAUGAAUAUUUUUCCCUCACUGGAAUAAAAUGUGCUGACUUAGUAAGCCAAUCAACUAUCACCCAAAUGCCGUCAUAACCAUUUUGUGUACGAGGGAGCUUGUACACGAAAUCCAUAAUAAUAUUUUCCCAUUUUCAUUGUGGAAUGGGAAGCGGCUGCAUCAAUCCAAACAGCUUCUUCCUUUUAGCUUUAACCUAUUGGCAAAUGGCACACCUACUCACAUAUUCAGCAAUUUCCCUUUUCAUACCCGGCCAAUAAUAAAAUGGUCAAAUGGUAUGAUACAUCUUGGUGCCUCCUGGAUGCAUCGCAUAUGCCAAAAUGUGUGCUUCAUCAAGGAUUUCUUUCUUUAACUCUACAUUAUUCAGCACAUACAUCCUGCUUUCCUGUAUAAGCAUACCAUCAGUUUCUCGAAUCCUGAAAUCUUUCUUUUUCCCUUGAUUCCUUGGUUGAAUUAUUUCAUGUGUCUCUUCAUCAUUCAUUUGGGCCUCGAGCACACGAUCAAUUAAAAUUGGCCUAACUUGAAAAUUAGCAAGUAAGGCUUCAUCUCGAUCUUCCACUCCUAACUCCACUCCAGUGGACCUCAAAUCUGUAAAAAGAGGAACGUGACAAUCAUAGAUGGCAUUAAGUCUAGCUGAAGCCUUCUUCCUAAGUGCAUCCGCCACUACAUUUGCACGACCAAGGUGAUACUCAAUCGUGCAAUCAUAAUCACUAAGUAGCUCAAUCCACCUCCGCUGCCGAAGAUUUAGAUCCCUCUGAGUGAAAAGAUACUAAAGACUCUUAUGAUCUGUGAAGAUCUUACAUUUCUCACCAUAAAGAUAAUGUCUCCAAAUCUUCAAAGCAAAAAUGAUAGCUGCUAACUCCAAAUGAUGAGUAGGGUAAUUCUUCUCAUAAGGUUUCAACUGUCUUGAAGCAUAAGUAAUCACCCUACCAUGUUGCAUCAAUACACAACCCAUACCAUUCAAAAAAGCAUCACUGUAGACCUCAAAAUUACCACCAUUAUCUGGGAGUGUUAAAACAGGUGCAUGAGUGAGAUAAUACUUCAACUGUUGAAAACUUUGUUCACAAUUAUUAUCCCACUCAAACUUAACAUCUUUCUGAGUCAACCUCGUUAAUGGUAAAGCAAUCACUAAAAAAAUCCUUAAUGAACCGUUUAUAAUAGCCUGCUAGACCAAGAAAACUAUGUACCUUGGUGAUGGUUCGAGGUUGUUCCGUAUUCUCCACUGCUGCCACCUUUUAAGAAUCCACUCGAAUACCUUGAGCUGAUAUAACAUGUCCCAAAAAUGCUACUUGCUAGCCAGAAUUGGCAUUUGCUAAACUUAGCAUAUAACUGGUGUUCCCUCAAACUUUUCAACACCAAGGUAAGAUGUCAAACAUGUUCUGCUUUAGUCUUAGAGUAUUCCGAAUGGCAUCACCAGAAACUCAUAAUGACCAUAACGAGUCCUGAAAGCUGUUUUAGGGACAUCUUUAUUCUUAAUCUUCAACUGGUAAUAACCAGACCUCAAGUCAAUCUUAGAGAAUACACAGGCACCUCGGAGUUAAUCAAAUAAAUCAUCUAUACGAGGCAAUGGAUAACGGUUCUUAAUUGUUACCCGAUUCAAUUGCCUGUAAUCAAUGCACAGCCUCAAGGUUCCGUCUUUCUUCCUCAUAAAUAAGACUGGAGCUCCCCAGGAUGAAGUACUAGGUUGAAUAAAUCCUUUAUCAACCAAUUCCUGUAACUAAACUUUCAAUUCCCUCAACUCAGCAGGAGCCAUUUUAUAGGGAGUCAAAGAUAUAGGAUUCGUACCUGGAAGUAGAUCAAUAACGAACUCCACAUCUCUAUCUAACGGCAAUCCAGGCAAAUCAUCAGGGAACACAUUCGAAAACUGCCUAACCACACGCACAUCCUCCACACUGCUAGGAGCAUCAUCAUUCAACACCACAUGAGUCAAAUAUGCCUGACAACCUUUCGACAACAAUCUUUUGGCUUUCAUGGCUGAAAUAACACCAUGUCUCACCCCGCUAGGCUCUCCUACAAAGGUAACUUCAAGUAAUCUAGGACGAUGAAAUGUGACUGUCUUUCCAUAACAAUCUAUCUUGGCACGGUUAUAGUGCAACCAAUUAGUGCCCAAAAUUACAUCAAAAUCCACAAUAUCCAACGACAUAAGAUUAGCUGGCAUAAUAACAUCCUCCACCAUCACUGGACAUCCUGGAUAUACCCGAUCCACAAAACAUCUAUCCCCUCUAGGCAUAUAAAACUCUAAAUCAUAUCCUAAAGGUGUAAGAUGAGGUUGCGUCAUUUGAGUAAAUGUAUGAGAAACAACAGAAUGCGUAGCACCACAAUCAAUCAAUACUCUAGCAAAAUGACCAAGAAUAUUUAACGUACCCAUGAUUAAAUCAGGAUUGUUCUGAGCAUCUUGCAGUGUCAUGUUAUGGAUACGUCCCUGAUUCUGCUGUCGUCCCCCACAACCUCUGUUAGCAUGAACAUCUCGUCCAUGUCUUGGCUAACCGGACUGCCUCAAAGAUCUUGCACUGUUAGCAGCAAUCUCUACCUGCUGGGGUUGUCCCCCUUGGUACCACUGGGAUCCACCGGCUGAAUGUGGCUGAUAUGGCAUAGAAUCUCCUGAUACUGAGGGUAACCACCCUGAUAAUGAGGAUCCUGAGAGUACUGAUAUUGUCCUGAAGUAUAAGGAAUGGCGUCGCCCUGAUAAUGAUAAGCACCUCCUCAUUCAAUUUGGGCAUAACCACUAGGUCCUGAAGCUUGCUGGGUCGGCGCAUGUGGUGGGAAGAAAUGUUGUUGGGGGGGCCUCUGCUGAUUCUGAGGGCAAUGAGCAGCUUUAUGCCCUAUCUGUCCACAAGUAUAGCAUGCAUUGCUGCCUCUCCUACACUCCCCAAAAUGCCUAUUAUUACACCUGCAACAUAAAGGAGCACUUAAACCACCAAAGUCCUUCUAUCUUUGAAAUCUCGGGCCUCCAGAAAAUCUACCACCUCUCAUCUGCAUAUUAGAACUCAAACCUCCACUAGAAGAGUUGGAACUGCCAUCGCUUCUCUUAAAACUCUGGGUCUUACGAGGUCCCUGAGAUAAUUGACCUUUACCUUUAUCAUCUCGUCUCUGGUUCCCAUUCUUUUCUUCUUCAUCCUCACUUUCACUAGGCAUGUUCUCUGAGUCCUCAAUCCGCAGUAUAACCUCAUAAAACUCCUCAUAAAACCUCAUAAACCUCACUUUCACUGGGCAUGUUCUUCUUAGUACCCAACCUGAAGCAACGGAGCAUCUCAACCGGAUUAGCAGCAACCUCGGGAUCAUAUCACAACAAAUCAAUGAACCUCUUGUAAUACUCAUUCACCAACAUUUUCCCUUGUCUCAGAUGCGUAAACUCUUGCUUUUUGCGAUCAAUAUACUCUGGGGGAAUAAACCUUUUCUGAAAAAACUGCUUAAAUACUUCCCAGUCCGCAAUCUCCGCUGGGGUCAACUGGUAAGACUUCUGUCUCCACCAGGAUGCAAGCUACUCCCCUAAAAACCAGGUAGUUGUCUCGACCCACCUAUCAAGAUGAAGGUUCCCUUGACUCUGCAUCAUCAAGAAAGUCUUCUCGAUAUGAUUAAGCCACUUCUCUGCUCCCUCAUGUCCUUCAUUUCCCAUGAAAUGAUUCAGUUUCAGAUUAUACACAGUCUCAAAAGGUGUCCUUUGAGGAGGACGGAGCGAAGACUGAAUGGUAUUAGCUAUAGCUUCCCCAAAUUGAGCAAUAUCAGGGAAACUAAGCUCAGCUGAGUGACGGGGCUCUCUACGAGGUGGAAUAGUUCUGACUGAAGACAUCACAAGGAUAGAAUAUUCAUGAACUAUAUAGGACUGCUAAACCUAGGCUCUGAUACCAAACUGACACACCCCGACUGAGAUUAAGGCAUGUUGGCCGUUAUGUGAAGGUGAAGUAGCCAUGUGCACAGUGCGAAAGCAAUAAAAAUAAGAAUUAUACAAAUAAAUAAAAACCAAAAGCUACUAAAGUGCACUAAUAAACAGGAAGUGAUAAGAGUGAGAUACAAGUGUAAAUACUCCUAAUCAAAGCUUAGAAAGUAUAGGUGUAGCCCAGUAGGACAAGUACAAAUUAUACAGUACCAGAAGAUGUCCUACAAUUAUUUUAUUAUGUCAGAACCGCAGAAAUCCUCGUACGCCACCAACAGCAAGCUAACCUAAAACCUGGAGGGGUGCAAAACAAAAAACGUGAGUGGGCAAAAAAAAAUGUUUUCAAAUUCAUAUCAUUUCUCAAAAGUUAUAACCCCUCGCCGUAAAACAUGUAUAAUUUUCCCAGAAAUAGAAUAUAAGCAUAUGCAUAAAUGUAUAUAUAAAUAUCUCAAAUCAUAGUUCACAUAAUCAUAUUCAUAAGUAUGUCAUGCCAAGAUAUAAGCAGAAUAAGUAACUCGUGUGAGAAUAAUUUCAUAGAAAAUAACAUAUUAGCAAAAAUCCCUGUAGAAGUCUGUACGGCUAAAUUCAUAGCUCAUUAGUCAAUCUAGCCAGAGUCACUACAAUGACCUAUACGACACUGCACUGCACACAAGUUGGAACCACUAAAAGGGUCUAUACGACAAAACUGGGUGUAAUAUAGUUAUGCUCAAUACUACGCUCUCAUAAUAGCUGGGCGAUAAAUCGCUAGUCACCUACGAGUCGGAACCAUCUAUGAUGGUUUGUACAACAAGACUGUGCACCUAAAUUGGAUCCAAUGUGAGCAUAUGGUGCAGGAGGUGACAUUAUAUAUAUAGGCAUGUGUCAUAUCUCUGGCUAAAUCACAAUCACCCUAGGUGCAGGUUUAUGAGCUCUAUGUUUCUCAAUUAAUCACAACCGUUAUUCAUAUUCACAUUAAAUAACUCACCUGUGCUUACCUGAGCGUCCACAGCACCACAGUUAUAUAUUAUGCAACAUAUACUAACUCACAUGCUGGACAUAAAGUUAUAUGCAUGGUAAUUCAAGGCAUACUUCAUUUAAAUGCAUUUUUCUAGGAAAAUAUCAAGUAUAUAAAUAUUUACUAAAAACCAAAAGCCCACUCACUGGUAUGUCGAAGGGUCGUAGCCCCCGAGUCACCCUUGACCAUGCUCGUCCUCGGGAUAAGUCUCCCCUAUAUGUGAAAUAACUAUAAAAACGUUAAUUUAAACCACAUAACCAAAACUAACUAAUAACUUCUCAUACAUUGCUCAAAUGGGGUGUUUGAAUAUACCAACGUGAUCUACACAACCUCACGAACAUCCCCAUAUUUUUAAAAUAAUUUUCUGAUCACCCACGCGCCGGCAAGUGCACGGCAAUACAUGCGGCCAUAAGUAUGGAACCCUAAUGGAAACCUUAAUUGCCGUUAGGAAUAUUUCAUCAAAAUAAAGGAAUAUUCCAUCAACUUUACCUGACGUCGUUACUUUCCGUUAAGAAUAUUUCGUCAACUUUGACGGAAUAUUCUUCUGUCUUCUCCGGUGGACCUCGCCGGCCGUCGAUGUCGCCAUCGCCGAAAAACUAGAAAAUGUUUAAACCUUGAUAUCUCAGUCAUUCUUCAUCCAAAUUUCAUGAAACCAGUACCAAAUUGAAGCUCUUAACUUGUAGAAAAUUUCCUUACCUGUUUAAAUCCUCAAAGAUCACGGGAUCUCGCUUGAGAAAUUCGAGAGAAACCGGCCAAACUUGAAACUCACAAUCCUGACGUCCAAAACUACCAAGCGAGCUACCCCGAGCUUCGUGAAGACCUUCUAAAUCUCAUUGUGAGCUUAAAAUCCACUGAAAGCUUCACAUUUACAUGUGCAUGAACAAUGCAUCAAAUCGGACGUUCUUGGUUCUCAUGAUCCCGACGUCCUCUCGACCAACUAAGGGUAUCAAUGUGUUCUUGGGCUUACAAGGAACACAAAACCAACCUUCAAGUCUUCGAUCUGUGACUGGUUGAAGGGUUUGAGGGUUGUCCGUACAAGGUGUACGGAAAAUGGAUGAAUUCCGAGAGAAUAAAAGAUAGAGAGGUCAAUGGCAGUGAUGUGGGUGUGUGUGGUCUAGAUUUUAGGUCACCAACUAAAAACAAGGAAAAUCUAAGUCCUAAUUGGGUCCAAAAUCUAAGUUCUAAUUGGGUCCAAACAAUUAGGACUUAAAAUGAUUGGCCCAUUUCACACACUCACGACCCAACGCUCAAGGGCUAAAUCGACAUUUCACGCCAUCGAUAAAAGUAAUUCGGGACGGGUUGUGACAAGAAGUAUCUGCGGCGGCUAAGGUUUUUAAGUCCAAAUCCCCUUUUGUUCCUAUCCCAAUUCCAUUUCUCCUUCCAUCCCAACCGACCAACCCUUCACCACCACCUAAUUUCUUAAUUUAUGUUCUUUAUUUUUGCAAAUUUCCUAAUUUUUAAAUUUGACUAAGGUUUUUAAUCUCAGCCCAAAUUAACAAUUGAUGUGUAUUGGAUGAAAAUUUUGAAUUUCUAACAAAUUAUAGUUAUUGCUAUGAUUUUGACCCUAAUAUAUCAAUUAUGAUUUUGACCACCAUAAAUUUGCAAUUACAAACUAGGGAGGCAUCUAUAUAUAAGUUACAAGUAAAUUUACGGUCAUCUUUAUAGCACCAUCCUCGUACUCGUUCAGUUAAUUUUGAAUUUAUUACAUAGUGUUGUGUCUUUUGGACCUUGCUUCAUAAGAUUCAAAGACCUACAGGGAUUGAGCUGAGAUUUUAUAUCAAAUUAUAUCUUUUUUGCAAUUAUUUCAUAAAUAGUGAGUAAUUUUGUAGUAGUUCUAGAAAUAUAAUGUGUUAUUUUAGUUUAAUUUCAGAAAUAGUGUGAGUUAUUUUGCUAUAUUUCUAGAAAUAGUAUUUAUUUUGUUCCAUUCCAAAGAUAGUGUGGUUAUUUUGGAUUGUGGUUAUUUUGGUUCAAUUUUAGAAAUAGUAUUAGUUAUUUUGCUCUAGUUCUAGAAAUAGUGUGGGUUAUUUUGGUUCAUUUUUAAAAAUAGUGUUAGUCAUCAUUUUCAGUGCAAUGGGUGCUUUUAUAAGACCAAGCAAGGUCUAAGUUUCAAACCUUAUGAAACUGAACCAAGAAUUAGGCAUUAUUUAGAAAACUUGACCAAUAAGUAGAUGCUAUUUAUGAAACUGGACCAAUAAGUAGACAUUAUUUAUGAAACGAAACUAAGAAUUAGGCAUUUUUCCUAAAACUAAACCAAUAAGUGGAAACUACUUAUGAAAUUGGACCAGACCAAGAACUAUAUACUAUUUAAGAAACAUGACCAAGAACUAGGCAUUAUUGAUGAAAGUGGACCAAUAACUAGGCACUAUUUAUGAAACCGGACUAAGAAAAAGACAUUAUUUAUGAAACUUUACCAAUUACUAUACACUAUUUAUGAAACUGGAUCCAAUAACUAGGCACUAUUUAUGAAACAUGACCAAGAACUAGGCACUAUAUAUGAAAUUGGACCAAGAACUAGGCACUAUUUAUGAAACCGAACCAACAAAUAGUAUAGUACCGUUCAGUUUCAUAAAUAGUGUUUAGUUUCAUAAACAGUGUAUGUGAUGGACGUACGGGUUCCACGCGUCAGGUCUUUUUUUUCUUUAUACUUUACAAUUGUGUCCUUUUCAUUAACACUACUAACAUUCUCAAUGAAAACUGUGAAUCCUACUCUUGACAUUGCACACUCUUUGACGUGGUAUAAUUUUACUUCUACAUUUUUUACUUUUUAACCAACUAAGUUAUAAGUCUUUAUUAUUUUAACCAUAUUUAAAAGGACAAAUUUAGUAAAAUUCGGGAUAUAUGUAUACUAAUAGGAUGUCUAGAUGCUUAUGUUGUCAAUUUGUCAAACGGUACCAUUAUUGAUUGUGUAUUUUUUUUAUUAGAGUAUGUCAUUCUAAUCCUUCUUAAAGAGAACUGCUAGACCCACCCCACAACCUUAUUUACUCACCCCAUCUUAUAAUCUCACCCCUCAUGAAAAGUUAAAAAAAUUAAAACACUCUUUUCUCACCCACCAUAUUCCCAAAAUGUCCAUUAAUUUAACUAUUUUUCAAAAAUUAAAAACUAGUAUGUUUCUAAUGAUUCUUCAAAAGAGUGUCGAUAUUAAACAUGGCUGCCUUGCACUGAAGAAGAACAAAAGUAAAAACACCAACCUCUGAACUUAAAUUGGAAUUACUCUCUCCUUUCAAAAUAUCGUCCAAAAUCAUAGGAAACUCAGUGCCAGUUUUAGGUUCCACUGCAUGUCUUCUCCAGUUCAAGAUGGGAAUUGGUAGUCCUGCACAUCUGUAAUGCCCAACCUCACAAGGCCUUUAAUCCAUGAUGUCCGUAUUCUCCAAUGGAACAACUAGUACAUUUGAAGAUCUGGUGGUAAUUAACAAAGAAGAAGGUUUGUAAUCAACAUUAAAAAUAAAACCAAUUGGGUAAUUUACACUUUAAUCCACUCCCUCGUGAAGGGUUUAAGACUUACAAGCUGCCAAAGAAAGCUAGUGCGUUCUCUUCGUGUUCUUUAACUUUUUUCUUUUGGCUAUAAAAUAUUUAGGAUUAAUUUUUAAUAGGGCUUUAGAAGUCAUUUUACAAAAGGUUAAAUGUGUCAUUAAAUUUUUCAUCAAAAUGUGGGUCAGGAAAUAGGAGUGUGUGGUGGGUAUAACAGCUCUCCUUCUUAAAAUAAGAAGACACUAUUUAUGAAACUGGACCCAAAAUUAGACAAUAUUUAUGAAAUCAAAUCAAGAAUGGGACAUUAUUUCAAAAACUAAACCAAUAAGUGAAAACUAUUUAGGAAACUAGACCAAGAAAGAAACAUUAUUUAUGAAACUAGACCAAGAAAUAGACACUAUUUAUGGAACUAGACAAAAAAUUAGGCACUAUUUAUGAAAUUGGACCAAGAACAAGGCCACUAUUUAUGAAAGUGGACUAAGAACUAGGCACUAUUUAUGAAAUUGAAUCAAGAACUAGGCCACCAUUUAUGAAAUUGGACUAAUAAGGAGACACUAUUUAUGAAAUUAGACUAAUAAGUAGACAUCGUUUAUAAAACCCAAUCAAGAAUGAGGCUCUAUUUCUAAAACUAAACCAAUAGGUGGAAACUAUUUGUAGUAGUUCAAGGUCCGACAUUUCCAGUCUAUUUGUUUCUUCGCCGGAUCACAUUUCUCAACUCACAAUAGUUUUAAGUUUAUACUUUGCUAAUUACAAAAUAAUGUAGUCCUAGGCGUAGACAAGUUAACUAGACAAUGUAAACAUUCAUAUUCAAACUCUUUUUUAUGUAACAAUAUUAUAUUAAAAUAUCACUCGAUUGGGAAAUAUUGUUACAAGCAAAUCCCACAUUUGCGGAGUUUGAGAGAAAAAGAUGAUUCCACAUUUCCGCUUGUGCGGCAAAGUCAACGAUGAUGAUAUAUGUAAUCACCAUCAUUAUUAAGAGGUUAAAAAAAUUCCCUCAUAUAUCUUAAAUCCGGUUUCCUUUUCCUGCCCAACACCAAUUGUAUUAAAAAAAUUAAAAUAAAAGGCAUGCACAAGAACAUGAUCAUGAUAAUUUUACCGGAUCAACGAAGGGAGUCAUGAUGAACCAAGGUGCAACGCUAUUGGUCCUUGUAUUAUCAUUCGCCCACUCACAUGCCAAGUUUUUUGCUAAUUGAUUCAUGGCACUUCAGAUACAAUAGAGAAAAGCCAUACUUUAGGGUCUUCUCGUCCUGAAGAAGAAGAAAAAAAAAAUCUAGCCACUCAUCUUUCUCCUUUUACCAAACCUUAAAUCUACAAACUCCGUAGUUGCUGCCCUUUGCUCCGAUUGGAGGCUGGUGGCAAUCUCUCUCCCCAUUUUUCUAGCCUCCCUCCUUUAUCUUCUCAUAGAUGGUUGCUUGUUUAUUUUUCGUUUUAGUAUUUUCGUCAAUAAGUGUCUCCUUGGUGAUGUUUUGUGUGAGUCUUUCUUCAUGAGUAUUUUAGUUUUGUAUUGGUGUGUUGUCGGCUCCUUAUGUGUAUAUUUUGUUGGAAUUGGUUCACAGAUUGUGUUGUGCUCAAAAUUUAUGUUGGUGUGGAUACUAGUUGGUUCGUUGUCAGUUCCUCUUUGAAGUAGGAGUUGUUGUUGUUGUCAAAGAGUGUCCUCAUGUUCAUUAUAUUCGAGGCUUUGUGCGCAGAAGUUCUCAAAUGCUAAUUGGCGAAGUGCUUGAUCUUUUCACCAGGAAUGGAGUUUCUUUUACUUUGAGUUUUAUUUGAGUCCUCUGAAUUUGGGUGUGGAUGAGUUCAAAACUUUGAUGCAUUACUUUACUUAUCCUUGGGCUUGUCUCGCCUAAUUCACGAGUAUGGUGACAAUUAGUUAGCCAAGUUAGCCUUUUAUGUUUUGUUAAAGUUUCUUUUGAUUGAAAACUUUUUGAAUGUUAUCUUGAAUGUCCUCUUUCAAAUUUGUAUCAAUUCUUAAUAUUAUAAUAAAACCGCUAUCACCACUACAACAAAACACUUUGCUCGGCGAAAUAAGUUCGUUGCGCAAAACCUUGUGCGACGAAAUUUUGAUCGCGCAUGGUUCCUCUUGCAAAGCUUGUGACGAUAAGGUUUGCGCGACGAAAAUUAAUCUUUGUCUUUGCGCGACGAAUUAGUUUAUCUCGCAAAGUAUCUUUGCGUGACGAAGUAGUUUGUCGCGCAAAGUAGCUUUGUGUGACGAAGUAGUUUGUCGUGCAAAGUAGCUUUACUUGACGAAAUAUUUUUAAUUUUAAAUUUUUGUUUUUAAUUUUUUUUAAUUAAAAUUAAUUAAUUUAAUAUUUUGCGUGACGAAAUAUUUUGUUGUGCAAGGUUUUUGACUUUUUGUUUUAUUAUUUCUCUUAUAUUAAUUGUUUACACCACGAAAUAUUUGGUAGCGCAAGAUUUUUCGAAUUUUUACUUUUCUAAUUUAAUUUAAUUGUAUGAUUUUAUUUUUUUUAAUAUUUUAAUUUAAAUUGACAUAUUCAAAAUAAAAUUACAUAUGAAAAAUAGUGAUCAAAUUAUCCAAUAUAUAUAAUAUAUUCAAAAUAUACACAAAAAUUAACAAAGUACAAUAAUAAAAUCUUAAUACAACUCUUUUGUGGUGGUAGUGGUGGGGAAUAUGUUUCGAUAGCGUCAUAAUCCUUAACUUUAGCUGUCAAAGUUUUGACGAUUCCCUACAAAAAAAAUAUAUAUGGUCAAAUAACAAAAAAUUGGCAUAAUCUCCCCUAAAAUUGGUAUACCCCAAAUCCGACCCCAAACUCCACUCCUCAUCCUAUACUCGAGCCCAAACCCCGCACCAAACUCAAAACUAACUCCAAAAACACAUAUUAAUGAAAAAAAUUAAAAUUUGGGAAGAAUAUACCUUUUGGCAAGAUUGAGAGUGAGUGAGAAUAAGAGGGAGGAGUAAGUGUGAGAGAAUUAGAGGAGAUAGUGAGAGAGAGAUGAGAGAGUGAGUGAGAGUGAGAGAUGGUUAAGAGAGAUUACGUGAGAGGAGUGAGUGUGAGAGAGAGGGUCAGAUUUGGGGAGAGGGAAAGAGACAGGAGAGGUAAGAGUAGAGAAAGACAUUGAGAAAAUUGUGGAUGAGUUAUUUUGGUUUUAAAAUCGUAUCACUUUGCGUGACAAAGGAUAUGAGUUUGCGCAACGAAAUAUUGGUUGUGCAAAGUCUUAAAAAAAAUUUUAAAAAAAAUCCCGCGUCCUUUUUUUUGCCCGCCCAAAUUUUUCGAGUUUUGCGCGACUAAGUAUUGGUCGUGCAAAGUUUUGCGAGACCACUAAAAAAAAUUCCCACGGCCCAUUUUUGGUGCCCGCCCAAAUUUUUAGAGUUUUGCGCAACGAAGUGUUGGUCGCAUAAAGUUUCGUUCAACCACUUGAAAAAAAUGUCCCGCGUCCCAUUUUUGGUAAUUUUUAGAGUUUGGUCGCGCAAAGUUUUGCGUGACGAAAAAUUGGUUGCUCAAAGUCUUAAAAAAAAAUUUAAUUCUCGUGUCCCAUUUUUUGCUCCUGUCCAAAUUUAAGGAUUUUGCGUGGCGAAUUAUUGGUUCGUCGCGCAAAAUUUAUAAAAAUAUUUUUAUAAAUAAUAAAAAAUUUACUGAAAAUGUGACUUUACUCCCUUGAAAUUCAAUUUUUUUUUAUAUAAAACCCACAAUAAUAUAUUUUUCUAACAAAAACCCGAUCUGUACUACAAUAAUAAAUUUAAAGCUACAUAAUAAAUAUAUAUACCAUUCAAUUUCUUAAGACCUUUAGUGGCAACAUAUAUAGAUCCAAUAUCUAUUGAGACCACACCUGCAGUAGAGGACAAAAAACGAUGUUAGCAGCUCCUGCAGCUUUGAGAAAAGGAUGUGAAAGUUGGCACAAGUGGUAAGCAGAUUCAAGAUUGGUACUCAUUAUGAAUGAGUAAUCUUUAGCUGUGUACUCUAGCGUUGCUUUCGGUUUGACAAUCCCCACAUUGUUUUGUUCAUGCAGGAAAUCUCACGGGGAGGGGUCCUUGGCUCGAGCACACAGCUCCCUGAGGAGUUGGAACUUUGGUUGUGUUGGAAAAUAUUAGUAUUUAGGUUUACCUUAAUGUUUAGAAUUAGGUUUUGUUAGAGAUUAUGAUUAUUUUAUUAUAAAUAGGGUGAUUUGUUAUUCAUUAGAAAAAAAAAAAAAAAAUCAUUCACAAUGUAGUCUCUUAGAGUUUUGUAGCCGUUUCGGCAUUCUAGUUUGUUUAAUAAUAUUUUUAUUAUUUUGUUAGUCUUAUCCGUUGCACACUCUGAUAUUCAACUUGGUAUCAGAGCAGGCUCAAUCCUUAAGGAUUUGAUCUGCUUUGGUUGUUAUCAGUUUUGUCUAGUAUGUUGCUUCUGUUCUGUUGUUGUUUAGGUUUAGUUUGAUACUAAAAAAAAAAAAAAUUGAUGAAGCUUUGUCGUGCUUCGCGGUUUUCCAUCCGCAUCAGAUCACCUGGCACCUGCAAGCACACCGUCACACCACCAUUUGCUGCCGCUUGAACCCACCUUCAACCUCGAUCCAUCAUUGUCUUCCUCACUGUCCACCAUUGGUUUUGACGAAGCCCAGAUCCGAGAACCCAAACUCGGAUCGAGUUCAUCUUUGCCCUGCACUCUGCCUGCACUUGUACACGCAAUCAACUUCCAUAAGUCGAAUCUGUCAACCCUUGGAUCACUGCCGCUAUUUCAAAUCUGCAGGCCCAUACACCAUGAACUAGACCCAUGAACCCAAUCUGCACGCUGUCGUUGCAACUAGAAACCCAGCACAUCUGCCGUUCGAAUCCACCCCGCCGCCAAGCCUGCAACCACACCUCGGAGUCUGAGUUUAGAAUGUUGGUCUGCAAAUUUUUUGCACCCAGGUUGCCACCUACUGCUGCACCCUUGAACGCUACUGUUGGAACACGCUCUAGCUGCAACCUGAGAGUUUGUCUCCGCCAGUCUAGAAACAAAAAUAAGGAAAAUGAGAGAAAAUAAAAGGAAAAAAUUGUUUGCUGUUAGUUUUAGGCCCACAUGAGCAAGAAAAAAAAAACAUAGUUAAGUUUGUUUUUUGGCCACACAAGUUGUUGGCAUUGUUCGCACAAUUGAGAUAUGGAAAUCUCGUCCGUUUAGUGACGAGUUCUUUCCAUAGUCUCAAUACUGGCCAGUUUGCCAGCAAGAAUCAGUUUGCUAGUUCGUCUGUCUGUCCGCGUUGCAGAGCCUGCCUGUCUGUCUGUCAACGUUGUGGAACCUGCCUGUCUGUCUGUCCACCUAACGGAGCCAAUCUAUAUCUGCUUGUUUGCAAACCCAUGUCGUAUGCCACCAUGAGUUUGACGGGGGGUGUUGGAAAAUAUUAGUAUUUAGGUUUACUUUAAUGUUUGGUUUUCUAAGCUUAACCCAUUAAAAUUAGGUUUUGUUAGAGAUUAGGAUUAGUUUAUUAUAAAUAGGGUGGUUUGUUAUUCAUUAGAAAGAAAAAAAAGUCAUUUACAGUGUAGCCUCUUAGGGUUUUGUAGCCGUUUCGGCAUUCUAGUUUGUUUAAUAAUAUUUUUAUUAUUUUGUUAGUCUUGUCCGUUGCGCACUCUGAUAUUCAACUAUUGUCGGACUCCGACUUGCUGAGAUGCUGCAAAGGGAGGAUAAAGUUAUAGUUCUAAAAGGUACCUUUGUGGGGGCCUUAGGUGUAAGCCUUGAGGCUCGUAAUCAAAACUAAGUGCUAAGGCGUGCCACUGCCAUCUCUGUAUGACAGAUGUAGAACAAGUGUAUUUAAGCCGAUUACUUGCGCCCCAAGUUAUUCUGACUUCUUGUUAUCAAAGGAUUGUUGUAGAUGGGUUAAGUUUACAUUAAGGUCUUUUCUAUGCCUUGAGAUCAAGGACUUUUAGUUCGUUAUCUUGCAUGCUUAAAGGGUGGAGGUCCAGAUCUGCUUAAGUCAUCAACUUUAAUUUACUUUUAAUCUUUUUAUGACAAUAAAACCACUAAGUGAAUCAAAUCUGAGAACUGAUGGAACUAUGGAUCAUCGAAAGACUGGAAAUGACUUGAAUAGAUACUGGGGAAUACAUUAUAACACCAGAUCUAUUAAUUGAAAGACAAAACGAGGAGAGGCGGGCAAUGUUAAAUGUCAUGCGGUCUCUUCUUUGUUGUAGUUGCAAAGGGUUAGGUACUAAAAGAGAGAUGAGUGGUAAAUGAGUUUACACAAGAGAAUCGAUACUACAUCAUUUAGAGAAGGUAGCAAAGCUUUUACAUAGACAAAAGAUGUCUUUCUAAAGGAAGUCUAAGGCUAAAAGGGUUGCAGAAUCUGGAUAAAGCACGACUUUCUGGAUAUUUACUUGACUGAGAGGCAAGUUGUAUGUUUGUUUGUUUGAUUGGUUGAGUGUCUAUAUCUCUGGGCCCUCUUUCUCCUUUUAUAGUUGAAUUAACCCGACUGUACUGUUUCUGCUAUUGCCCGAAAGCAACUGAUGGGUAGUGAGUUAUCAGCAUUUUUACAUGUUCUGCCAUUCAAAAAGUGUUUUUGGGUAUGGAGUAGGUGGAUUUCCAUCAGUUGUCACUUCUCUUGUAAGCACCUAACCUUUACAUUAAAUGAGGAGCCAUCAUUUUGUCUCAAGAUGGGUAUCUAGGCUCGACUCUGGGCCUCCGGGCAAGAUCUCCUUUAUUGGGCUCUUUUGGACUUUCAUUCCUUUAAGUCCAAAGUUAAAUAUUAAUCCAAACAUAUUUAUCUAUAACAAGACAUUAUUGGAAAGGUGUAGCAUAACAUAACGAUUUUAGUUUAUAUGUAUUGCUGAAAAAUGCAUUAAAGUUAUGUGUAUUAAACAUAAAAAGUAUGUACAUACAUGUGUGGAACGUUUGAGUUUUUAAAAAAGUACAAUUUUGCAAAUUAUGGAAAUGUUUACAACAAACAGAAAUAUUUUAAAAAAUAUAUAUUUACAAGGAUAUUAAGUUUGCCAUCAAAGAGUGAUGAUCAUUCAUGAUUUAUGCAUAUAUGUUAAUUCAACUAAUCAGUCUUCUACUUACAAAGAUGUUAAGUUCGCCAUCAAAGAGUGAUGAGACCUUGUUUAUAAGCUCCUCUCUUUGGGUUUUUGACACCACAUCACAGACCGAGCCAGUGACUUGAAAACCCUUCUUCUCCCAUUCAGUGACUUGAAAACCCUUCUUCUCCCACUGACUCAGGCAGUCAUUAAGUUCAAUUUCAUUUCGCGAAUUCUUCCACUAUUGCAUACCUAUAUAAUUACAUUAUCAACUUCAACAUAGAGUAGUAAAAUUAAGAUAAAAAAUUGGAACACUUGUCCUUAAAUUUUGGUAUCUCAUUGAGCUUUAGUCAUUGAAUUAAACAUUUGUGGAUAUUGGUCUUUGAACUAGUAGCCGGAGCAAUAGUAUUUUUGGAUAACUUUCUUAUCACUUAUGUCCAUUAUUUUUCCCCUAUUUGUUUCUUAUUUUGAAAGGAAGUUCUAACAAUUUUAACCAAUAGGACUAUUGUUUUAUAUUGUGACAAGUUUAUGAACUAAAGUCUCCAGUUGAACCAAUUCAAGAUCAAAGCUCCAAUUAGAAAAAAUAAAGUGAACAUUGCAUUGCAUGUAAAAGAAAAACUGAAAAUAUCCCGUCUCUCUCCUCUCUCCCAUUCGAUGUACUCCCUUCCCUAUUCCCUCUUCAAUCCUCUUUUCUUUGUUGCCUUUCCAGUCCCUUCCCGCUUUUAUCCAUCAUAGCCACCACCUCUAUCCUUCUCCCUCCGGCCAAGACAAAUCGAUCUCUCCUGCCUCUUCAAUCCUCUCUUCUUUGUUGCCUCUUCAAUCUUAUCUCUUCUCACUUGCAUCCAUCAUAGCACCAUAGCCACCACAUCUUCCCUAUGGUCGUUGGAUCUCGGGUUUGAGACCGCCAACAUGAUUAGCCUCUGUCAGCAUGAGUUUGGAGGAAGGACUUGGUAAAUAGCCAAAGGAGUCGCCGCUAGGGAAGUGAGGGAUGCGGUGGUAAGGAAAUUGGUCUUUCGCUGUUGGGGAUGGGAGGGAUGCGGUGGUCGGGUAAUUGUUUGGGCUGGGCGUUUGACUUUUUCUAUUUGGAUUAGUUUUGAGAAAAUGCAUACCAAACAAGGUUUUGAAUUUAAAAAUUUUAAAUCAAAACAUGUUAUUUUUAGAAAAAAUUAAAAUUUUGAGUUUCGUUCUCAAGUUAGAUACCAAACAGGCCCUAAAAGAUUAAUGGUUUUAACUAUCCAAAUUUAGAGAAGCUAACCCAAUUCCUUUGGUUCCACCAGUGACGAGCAGUCAUUCCCUCAAGAGACCAUCUUCUGCCUCUGCUGCUCAUCUCUCUCUCUCUCUGCUUUCUAACCCUCAUGCACAAUACUAGUGGUGCUGCCAUUUAAUACUGGUUUUGAUUACUACCAGAUAUUGGGUGGCCAGCAUAAAAAGUACACGAACUGUUUCAUGCAUGCACCUACUUAGUAGCUGCUCGGAUCCUGAAAAUCCGAUUACAAACACAUCGGCCAUUGCCGCUACUGUUUGCUCCUAGUAUUUGCGGUAUGCAUAAUUAUAGUUAUGAUGAUUUUUUUAAUUAAGUACACCGUACACGUCGAGAAAUGCUAGAAAGAUUUUUUUUUUUUUUUUUUUUUUUUACUGAAAAUGUAACUUUAGCUUUUGAAAUUUAACUUUUUUUUAAUACAAUCUAACAUAAUUUUUUUUUGUUCGAAUAAAAUUUAGUGACUAGACUCUACAUAAGCAAAUUCAUUAAUUAUAUUUAACUAAUUAGACAUCAUACAUCUUUUCAAUGCCGAAAAUACCGCUAUUUAAAUAUUUGAUAUACACAAUUAAUUCCAUGCCAAUUGUAAAAGGAUUAAUAAUUUUACAAAAGAAAAAUAAACAUUAAUGUUAUAAAUUCAUUGUCUAAUAUAUAUAAAAAUAAAACAUGCCUAUAAUAGGCCAAUAAGCCUAAUAAUUGACUCAUGUGCAUGUUUUAGCACAUUAUUCAUUGCCUAACAUCCCUAAUAUAUCCAAUAAUUGACUUAUCCCUAAUAUGCCUAAUUGUUGUGACCUAAAAUUUAGAGAGGGAGUGUGUGGCGUAGAGAGAAGAAAAAGGUUUGAGGAAUUAUGUGAUGUGAUUUCUUAUUGUUGGAAUCAAGUUCACGCACCUUAGCAAUUGUGAGCAAGCCAGAGACCCAAUAGGGUGUUGGUCAAAGGUCCUUUGAUGGUCAAGUUAGUGAGCAAUAAUAAAACUUAAGCAGUGGGCAAGAAAGUUAGAGUGCAAUAAUUGCGUUACCAGAGACGAAUCCUAAAAGAGUGUACUUAUAGCAAUGGGGAGAAAGACCUUUUUAGGAUAUAACUUUGUAUUACACCAUGAGAAUCCAGAGGAUAUCUAGAAGUAGAUAUUGCAUCAUCUUGGGAGUGUCAUUACUUGCGGAGCACGCCAAUUCCUAGAUUGUUGGAACUUCAAGAAUAUGAGAAACCAAGUUGAUUCCAUGUUGGAUCAGGUUCUCAUAUCUUGCGGAACAAGCAUGGUGAAUCUCAACGAAGUCAUUCGAGUUUCGCCACUGCUGCAAAACAAGAUGAUGGUGGCAUCACUACUUUGUUAAUCCAGCUUUGCUCAGAGCUGUUGAAUCCAUGAUCGGACAUCUAAGGUACUUGUAUUCUGAUUUUCCUGACUCCAACCUAGAAAAUCAUGGUGUCAUACUCAUGCCUAAUUCCUUUAUUUCUAGUAAUAAGGAGGAGAUAAUAACUUGCCCUCCAAGUAAUACAAAGUCAGAGAGGAAAGAUCUUCUAGAUCCUAAAGGAUUUCUAACUUAUCUUUACUAGGAUUUACAUAAUCGCACUACGUGAAAUAUUAAUUAUAACACUCAUCCUUAAAUGUGUAAAUACUCAAGCAGUAGACGCAUCAGAUCUUCAGAAACAUAUGAAAGUAAGGCUUGCCCAACAAAAUUUUGCCCGAUGAACCAAAUUUCGUCGAUUUUUUUAGUUGGUAGGCCAAAGAUGGUCAACAUUUAGAGUUUAUUCAAAACCUUUACGUGACGAAAAGUGAUCGUAGGGCAAGUCACAAUUCAUCGGGCAGAAUUUUGCAAGUCACACUUCUCCUCUUAGCAACUUCAGUUAUGGAGGUUUAGGGGGUAGUAUUGGUGGUAAAAAUAAGAUUUGUAAGUACGAGAAGGGUAAGGAUUGGAAGUCAAUUGUAGGGGUUCGCAGCAACUAUAACAUUUCUAACGGAAAUAUUAGAACUAGUAGUUGGAAGGGAUAAGGAUCGCCCUGUGGAGUACUUAAGUAAUUUCUUUGUGUCGAAGAAGGUGAUGACCAAAAGUUACUCAGAUUUCUUACAUGCAUGUGGAAAAACAUGGAGAGGAUGCCACCGUGAUGAUAAAAAAUAUCCCAACCAAAUACAUGAGGCAAUGCAAAAUCAGAUUUGUCUUGUAUCACAGCAUUGACUGAUAUCAUUUAAAAUUUUCUUCUUUUCUCAAUUCUUUUUGUAAUGGUUCCAAAGCUCUAAACCCUAUGCAUGAGCCUUUGUUCAUGAAAGAAUGCAUUGUACUUAAUAAAAGUAUAGAAUAAACUCUAAUUGUUUGGAAUCCCUAACAAAUGCAUGAGGCAGUGCAAAAUCGAAUUUGUCUUCUAUCACAGCAUUGUUUGAUAUCAUUUAAUCCAAGAGUGAUGAUGAGUAUAAGUGUAGUCCCAUUUUCAUCAUUUCAGGGAUCCUAUAUCUAGAUAUGUGAAAACAAAACCCUAAUCUCUGCUUCAAUCCCUACUGUUGGACUCAUAUGUGCUUCUACUUUAUAAACACUCAUUCUUUCUCCAUUUUUCAACUCACUCAACUCCACCAUUAUGAAAAAAUCUCAAUCCACAAUCCAACCGUCAAAUGUAAACACAUAUACUUUGAGAUCUCCUACACCAAAAAUCAUCUAAAAAAAUGUUCGGAGAUUUGGUAACAGAACAAAAUCGUUCGAUGGUUAGUAACAAAAAAUCACGAUUUAACGGUCGUUUUAGCUCCGAUUUUGUUGAUUUUUUACAAAUCCUCAACCCUAGAAGAAUAAGAUGUACGAACACGAUCAUCAAUCUAAAAUAUUUAAAAUAGUGGAUACACCAAAAACUUACAUUCUACUUAAUGGAAGUACAGAAUAAACACUAAGUGAUUUGGAAUCCAUUCUUUACAAAGGGACACGCAUUCUACGAAACUAGUUUUCAUGAUCCAAUCAUCGAACAUGUUUGCAUAUACUUCAAGUUCUUCUACACCAACAAUCAUCCAAAAAAAUGUUCGGAGAUUAGAUAACGAAACGAAAUCAUUAGACAGUUAGAAACGAAAAAAUCAAGAUUUAAUGAUCGUUUUAGCUCCAAUUUUGUACAAGGACCCAAAUUGAAAGUAAAAACACACACUAAAUUUACAUGAUUAUGAAAUUCGAUGAUUUUUUUUUAACCGUUUGAACAUAAUGUUCAAAACUCAAGAAAAUUCUUUUUCAAAGUUGCCCAACGAAAUACUUGAAUUUGUCGGGCCAAAUUCCUAAAUUUUGUUGGCUAAAGUUAUGUAUUCGUCGGGCAAGGUUUAAAAGAACACCCCAAGAAUUUCCCAAAAAUUUAAAUUUGCCCCGCAAAAUAGAGGUAACCCAACAAAAUAUUCCAUAAGUUUGUCGGGUAACCCACCAAUUUUUAACUAAAUUGCGUUUGCUCGACGAAAAUCUAGGGUUUUGAACACAUCAAAAUUUUAAAAGCUUUUGCCCCAUAAACCUUCUGUCGGGUAAAGGUUUAAAAUGUUUUAACAACCGUAACCUUCUUCUUUCUUCCUCCUCAUACCGUGCAACUCUCAAAUCCUCUCUACAAUCUCUGUCAGUGUCAGCCCUCCCUCUCAAUCUCUCUCUCAGUGACCCACCACGACGUGCCGUGAGCCACCAAUCUAAAUAUUGAAUUAUAGCGGUGGGUUCAAAAAAUCGAAACCGAAAAAAACCGAGAACCAAACCGAACCGAGACCGAAAAAAACCGAACCGAAAACUGUCAAACCGAAUAUGGCUGGUUCGGUUUUGGUUUUUGAAGUUUGGAAACCGAACCGAAUAUAUAUUUAAUUAUUUUUUAUAAUAUUUUAAUUAUAAAAAUUAAAAAAAUCUCUAAAGUCCUGGAGGCAUGUGGGUUUGAACCCGUGUGCUCCAGUUGAAAGGUUUCAAUGAAACCAACAUGGCAACUGGUUUUGUUUUGUUAUAGUUGUAUAACUAAACUAUUUAUAAAGAUAUAAAACUAUAGUCUUUUGUGCAAUUAGAAAUCAACAAAACCCUAGCCACUAGUAGUAGCAACCAGACCUUUUCUUUUUUCAUUCCCCUCUUCUCUCUCUCGUCCCUGCGCCUCCAGACUCCCUCCUUGUCCAUGCCUCCAAUUUCUCCAUUCUUCUUCAUUCUUCUCUCUCCGUUUCUCGAUCUUCUCACUCCAGGGUAAGAUCUCCAAUCUCUCUUAUUUAUUUUGUCGAUUUAUGGGUUUUUUUAGAGUAAAUUCUAUGGAGGGAAUCUGAAAUUUGGUGUAAAUUUAUGGGUUGUUGUUUUGUUUUGUAUUGUAGAUUUGUUUGAUUUUUGUGUUGUGAGAGUCUCACCCAUUUCUUUCCCUUUCUUUUUUUUUCUCCCCUGAUAUCAUUAUUUGCUUAUCCUCUUUCUUUGCCUCAGCGGCAACACCACCACCACAACCAGUUGCAGCAACUGCAACAGCACCACCUCCACCAGCUGUGGUGGUCUUGCCGCCCAACACAGCCAACAACUAUGCAGCGACCACCUUCAUCUAUGCUUGAGAGGGCUCCGGAUCUGCGGAGUGUGGAGAGAAAGGGUAAAUUUGUAGCCGAAUGCGGAAAAAAAUCUGCUUCAAGCUCCAGAUAUUAAAAAAAAUCAUGAAAAAACCAAAAAAAAAACCGAAACCGAAAUCAAACCGAAAAAAAUCAAAACCGAAAAAAACCGAAAAAAAAUCGGACCGAACUGAACCGAACCGAAAUUUUGGUUCGGUUUCUGUUUUAACAAAAAACCAAACCGUUUCAAACCGAAUCCAGCCCUAUUAAAUUAUAUUGAAAAUAAUUUUCUAAUUUUCACAUUGUAUAAUAAUUAAAAAAAAUUCUUUUAAUUUGUUUUAGCCAUCUGGCACAAAUUUGGACUCCAAGUCAGCAAAAUGUGGUCUAUGUUCUUGUCAUGUCAUCACUUAACAGUCAAUUUAACAGAUUAAUUAACGGUUGUAUGACAUUGCUACGAAAUCGAGAGUUGUUGUAUGAAGUUGAAAAAAAUAAAUGAAGUUGUACGAGAGGACAUGUAAUUUACCCAUUGAAUUUUUAUGUAAGAGGUUAUCAAAUUGAGACGAAAAGCCACAUGAUGUUACCUACAUAUACCUUUUAAAUCUUUCUUAAAUCUUUCAAUUUCUAGGAGUAAAAAUUGUAUUCCCCUCUUAUUGUUUUUUUCCUCUUUUUGAUGAUCGGUACGUACGCUGGAGAGGUUUGAAGUUAACUCGUUAAGUUUUUAUUGUUUUUGUCUCAAGAAUCGUGAUGAAAAUUUGUUCAUCCAAACUUUGGAGCACUUGAUUUAAACUCGGAUGUAAUGGUAAGCACAUCCUUUCUUGCUGCUGUGGCUAAGUCUGGAUAUUCACCUCUUGUUAGCUCGCUUGGCAGUCUAAUUUUGGAUAAAAUUUGAAAGCGAUUGAUUUCAAUCUAAUACAAUUCUAAAUGCCAACCUGGGAAUAUUUUUGCUCAGCUCAAGUGAUGGUGAUGAUCAUUACUCUAGUUAUCACCGUUGAAUUAUUUUAAAUUUUGAGAUCUGUGUAGUAGAUAGACGUAAAUUUCAAAAUAUUAACUCAUCCAACGGUAAUAAGUAUUGUGGAUGCAAAUUUUCUCCUCCUCGAUCUUGGACGAUUUUGCACCUACAAAACAACUAGCACCUUAGGUUAAGGCCAAAAGCCUCACGCGCCCACGAUGAAUGGGGGGGCUUUGGCCGAAGAACCUCCGAUGCCAAAGUUAGAAUUUUGGAGAGAAAUAGUGUUUAGAGUGUUUGUGAUUUUUUGCAAGAGGUUGUGGAUUAGUGUUUUGUGAAAAUGGUACCCAAUUUAUAGGAGAGGAAAGGAUGAUUUAUUUUGGGGGGUUAUGGAGAUAGUGGGCUAGUUAUUUUUAGGGAGUUAUGGAAAUAAUUGGCUAGUUAAUUAGCAAAUAGUAAUAACCUAAUUUACUAGCUAUUUGAAUGUCACAAAAAGGGGGAGAAAAUGGCAGCCACCAACAGGAAAUAAAGGGCAUGACCGGCCUAGUGGGUUUUUGGUUAGUUUGUGGUUUAAUUAGCCACUUUAAUUGGCUAAUUAAAUAUGAAAAGAAAUGUUAUAGUAAUUAUGGUAUUGAUUGGCUAAUAAAAGGGAAGAAAUGGUGGGAAAAGGUAACAAAAAAGGUAAUGGUUUAGGUUUUGAAUGGGAUAGCCGGCCCUCUAGUAUUUUUAGGUUUGAGUGGAUGUUUCAAAUUGAUAAUUAAGGGAUUGAUUAGGUAAUUAAUCCCUUAAUUAGUCAAUUAUUAUGAUUUGAGGAAAUAUGAAAGGAAUAAGUAUAUUAUUUAGCUAAUUGAUUAGCUAAAUAAUGAAAUGGGAAAUAUAUGAAUAAAUUAAGUUUUAAGUUGAUACCUAUUUUGGGCACUUUUGACUUGGUUGAAAAAUGAUUGCCCACUGCUCGCGCGUAGGAAUCCCGGUAUGCCUCAAGGGUAUUUUUGUCCUCUUAUGUUCAAAAGUCCACGUGUCGCCUAGUGAAUAUUAUUUGCUCCACAAGUAUGGUGGUGAACAUUACUAUCACUUGAGGGUGAUGAGCAGAAAUGCAUCUAAACCAAACCAGGUUUAUAAGCUCUUCUAAUACAGUGAAAGUUAAAUCAAUAGACCAAAUGGUCGGCGGUCUUUCAUUCACUUAUUUAAUUAGAACAUUAAUGUCACUUAAUUUCACAUAAAACUAAAGCUCACCACUUUGUUUUUUCUUUUUUCGGAGAACUAAAGCUCACCACUUUGGAAUUAGAUAAGAGAUUUUGUUUUUCCUGACCUCAAGCACUGUCUACUACUACAUAUCGAACUAUUUGCAUGUCAUGUUUCUUGGAAGAGCAAGCCAUUGACAGUCACCCCGCCGUCGACGGUAAUAGUUUGCCCAGUAAUGUAAGAGGCUGCAGGUAGGCAUAGAAAUGCUACCAAGGAAGACACUUCUUCUGGCUCUCCUGGACGUCCUAAAGGGCACCGAGAAUUUAUCACCGCCGAUUUCUUUUUAUUUCCGAGAAACUGCAUGCAUAUAGUGUGAGAAUGGAUGUAAUGACAAAUAUAUUAGUAAUGAUUUUAAUGAUUUGUCAAGCUCUUCAAUAAAAAAAAUAAGAGUAGAAGUAUUAUUUUUAAAUUGGCAAUCCUGCAUUGUUUUUUUUUUUUCUUUCUAUUUUCAUGUUUUAAUACUUUUGAUUUUAAUUUGAGCAAGAUAAUUCUCUUAAUGUGAAUUGACAAGUAAUUCAUUGCCAUAACUAAGCUAUUAAAUAAAUAAUGAAUAAAAGAUGAUAAAAAUUUGGCUUGUUUCUUCAAGAAUCAAAAUAUUACUCCCAAAAACAAAUCCAAUAAAUUUAAAAUCAAGAGUUGAAUUCUUUAUUUUAUAUGAGUCCCACUACUGUUCUGAUUCCUCAAUGUUUAUUAAACACAUGAAUAAUUUCUUUUCACCACCAUCCAACUUCUUAUUGUGAUUCUGAUUCCGAUUACGGACUUCGAAAGACCCAUCAAUGAAAUGUUGAUUGGCAUUGAAGUUAAAGCAUGCAUCAUGACAUGAAGGGACUUAUAGUGUAAGUGACUAAGAGAAUUUACCUAUGUUCCUUAGGUCUUACUUUGAUUUUCCUCCCCCAAGAUCGGUUGUAUUUAAAGACAAAUGAAAAUAAAAAGCAUGCACGAGCACGUGAUGAUGAUGAUCUUACCAUUUCACCAAGGGGAGUGGUGAUAAACCAAGGUGCAACACUGUUGGUCCUUAUUUUAUCUUUUGCCCACUCACAUGCCAAGUUUUUUGCUAAUUGAUUUAUUGCACCUGAGAGAUACAAUACAGAAAAGCCACACAAUUUAAGCUCAAUUCUUCAACUGCCUGCAAAACACAAAUUAUCUAUUGGGUUUUAUUUUUACAUAAAGUUUUAAAAAAUAUAUAAGGAAAAUAAUUAAGCACCUUUAGUUGCAGAAUAUAUAGAUCCAACCUCUAGUGAGACCACACCAGCAACAGAGGAUAAAAAAACGAUGUUAGCAGAUCCAGAAGCUUUGAGAAGAGGAUGUGAAAGUUGGCACAAAUGGUAAGCGGAUUCAAGAUUGAUGCUCAUCAUGAAUGAGUAAUCUUCAGCGGUGUACUCUAGUGUUGCUUUUGGUCUGUUAGCCCCCACAUUGUUUAUCUACAGCCACACAUUUUUGGAAAGGUUUAGCAUAAAAAUACAAUAGUCUCAACUUUGUUGAAAGGGGCUAUGAGUUCAAAGCUAAUGGACGACAAUUAUAAAUUAGGGGACUUUAACUAAAAGCUUCUCGUACUGUUUACUUUAACGAAAAUCUAUAUUUUUACACUAAAAAGUCCAUCCUAGUACUAUUCACUUUACCUUUUAUUUUGUCCUUAUCAUUAAAACUCAAAGUUUUCAAUCCCUUUUCAUUAGUUUUCCUUAUAAAUUAAGGAAAAAAGUGCACUUCUUCUACUGGAUUCAAAUUCUUAAAUUUCACUAAAAAGUUAAAGCUUUCUCAAACGACUAGAUACUGAAAAAGUUGAGGUUUCCUCAUAAAAUCAGAUUAGCAAUAUAUGGAGUAUCCCAACCUAUUAUAACCCAUUGCAAGGUUUCUCUUUUCACUAAUACGGGACUCUUUUACCUUCACAUCCUCACAGAUACGAUCUAAGGGCGUCAGGAUCCUCUCCGAGUCUUUUGGGUGAGGAUCCUAGAGAUCCGUGAAUCAUGUUCGUUCAUUGUACAUCGUACGGUCAGUUUUUGUCAAGUACAGUUUGUGUUUAAUUUUAAAUAAAAAUAUUUAAAAUAAUUUCCAACCACACGAUGUACGAUGAACGAACAUGAUUGAAGAAUCCUGGAAUUCUCACAAAGAGAAUCCAGGGAGAUCUAAGGCAUCUUUUCUGCUAAACUGAACGAUUACAAUUUUACUUUUCUUCAUGACCAAAAUAUCCAUAACAAAACAAUAAAAUGCCAAAAGUGAGUGGUACUCUGCAAAAUUUUACCAUGGAGCGGUGUGCAGAAUGUUUGGUUCAAUAAACGGUUAGAUUUUCAUUUGUGACGUUUGAUAGUCUCACAAUCUAAUCGUUCAAACACUCUAAACACUGUUGUAUUAUAGGGAGAAGCUUUGUGUUAUAUAAAACGCAAAACGACAGAAAAAAAAUAAAUAACUUUAAAGACAUGAAGUCCAAAGGCUGCAGACAGCUCCUACACUCUCUUACUUGAAAACUCUUCUUAAUGGAUAAUUGACAAACACUUGAUUCAACUGAGUUCAUCUUUAAACACCUCUCAACCUUCAAAUUCAUGAACUCACAUUAAUCUUCUAGCUUAAUCAGGUAUGGACCUCUCUAGAUGCCAACCGUUGUAAUAACUUCUAACAUCAUCUUUGGUGGAAUUGUUGCCAACACUUUCAAAAUCUUUAACAGGAUAUUUAACGGAACUAAUGAAAUGAGACAAAAUGGGACACAAAUAUAUGAUUUAGAGAGCAAAAUAUGUCAAAAUAACUUUGGGAAGGUAAAGUGGAAUCCGACAACACUAUCGGGGUACUGCAAUAGUUAAGCCUUGAAAUUAUUCUUUCAGUCAAUUGAUGAGUCCUGUACUUACAAGGAUGUUAAGUUUGCCAUCAAAGAGUGAUGAGACCUUGUUUAUAAGCUCCUCUCUUUGGGUCUUUGACACCACAUCGCAGACUGAGCCAGUGACUUGAAAACCCUUCUUCUCCCACUGACUCAGGCAGUCAUUAAGGUCAACUUCAUUUCGCGAACAAGUAUGCACAAUUGCACCUAGCCCUGCCAAUUCUUCCACUAUUGCAUACCUGUAUAAUUACAUUAUCAACUUCAAACAUGGAAUCGUAAAAUCUGAGGAAAAAAAUUGGAACACUUGUGCUUAAAUUUUUUUAGAAUUGGAGCUUAGUUCUUGAAUCAGACAUUUAUAGGUAUUGGUCUCUGAUCUUGUAGGCGGACAAAUGGUCUUUCUAAGUAACUUCCUUAUCACUUUUUGUCCUUCAUAUUGUCAUAAGUUUAGGAACCAAAAUUUAAAGAUCAAAGCUCCAAUUAGAGAAAUAAAGAGAAUAUUGCAUUGCAAGUAAAAGGAAAACUGAAAUAAAAAGAGAUUAAUGGUCUGAAGUAUCC